GAUAUAAUCAAAGUGUUUUUCUUUUAAUUAUAUUAUCUUAUAAGCAUAUAGAGAAGCAGAUUUAUUAUACAUAGUGCAGGAGGUGGAUCCAUAGCUGUACACACACACACACACACAAAAGAACUUAGAAGACUCCUUAGAACAACAAGCAGUUCGCUGGGGGGGAUCUGAACCUAAGGGCUGACACAAUCCACAAGCAUGGACAAAGCUACUUCGGUGCAAGGCAGACGUACAGACCGAGGCUUGGCCCGUAUUGCCUGGCUCAGAGGACGGCCAUCGGGUUCGCUGGCUCGCUCCGCCUCCGCCCUCGGGGUCGAACUCCCGGAGAGAGCAGCACGACCCUUGUCCCGCAGCUUCGCGAGCUCGGCCGUCCACGUAUCCACUAGGUUGGACAUCGUAGCAGAGACGAAAGCAAGAACAAUGGCAAGCAACAGCUCUAGAAGACACUGCAAAGCGUACCAGCUACGAUUAGGAUGGUGAGGCCCGGCGAAGGCUUAAAAAGAGGGGCAGCCGAGCUUAUCCACUCUGAAACCAGUGAGCCUAUAAGAGUGGUUUUUGUGGGUGUCGGCAGGUUCUUAGGUGCCGGAGAUAUUUUGCAUCACGUUCAUCCUAGAUAAGUCUCUUCAUUAAAAUAAGGCAAAUUUCAUAUACAAAUAUAGAUAUUUAGCUUACAGACCCUUUAAUAAGACAAACAACUGAGUUCUUAUCCAAACACUAAUAGAGAAUAAUUAAUACACAUGACGAGGCAUGCCCACAUGUCGAAUUCUAACAGCACAAAUGAUAUUUUCAUUAUCAAAAGCAAUCGACUACCCGACACGUGGAGCCCUAAAUAUCCACGUGGCUAAGCUUGCCGCGUUGGUUCAAAGCGGGCAAUCCACGUCUCCGCGACUUGCAUAGUGCCCAGUCGCUGCGAUCUGGUGCGUUGAUACGCAGCAGUUUUCUUCUCUUACUCGAUCAGAUCCAACGACUUCUACGGCCAAUAUUUAUCGUUCGCAAAGUAGGGAAGCGGCGAUUGAGCGCCUCUCUGUGAUCCUUCACUUCGAGCGCCGAACGAAGGCGGAUCGGAAGCGACUCGAUCGGAGAGAUCUAAACCCUAGCGAAUGGAGGAGGAGGAGGAGGAGGAGGGCCGCAAGAGUCCUCCCAAGAACCGGGAAGAGAAGCCGCAAGGAGGCGGCGGAGGCGGAUGGGGCAGCUGGGGUAUCUCCUCUUUCUCCAUGUUCUCGGAACUCCAAAAGGCCGCGGAAGACAUCUCCAGAAAUGUACGUGAUCUUCUGCUGUUUCUUAUUCGAUUAUUAUGUCUACUUUUGCAUCUUAAAUUGGGUCGGCAAAUGUGUGAAGAAUUUGGUAAAUGAAUCGUUUUCUUGUUUGGGAUUCAGGCAGUUGAAGUCGUUAAGAAUGCAACCAAAGGCAUCACCGACCUGGAGAUUGCGGGUUCAGAUUCCGAAACAACCGAUGAGGUCUCGAAGGAUUCCAGAGGGGGAGAAGAAGAAGAAGAGGAGGAGGAGGAGCAUGUGCACGAUAGACUUCGCAAGUCCGCGCUUGAUAAACUGGAGAAAGCUAGUGAGGAUUCUCUGUUCGGUCAGGUGAAUCAAUCAUUCGAGAGAUGGAGAUCCGCUGCAAUGAAUUUAUAUGAUUUCAUAUUGGGAUACAUAUUAUGCAUCUUUUGUCCUGUCAUUUGGUGGUGAUUCUUUGACAUGCUUGUUUGUAGGGUCUCAAGGUACUUGACAAUUCAGUGGAAACUAUUGCUUCAGGAGCAUGGAGUGCGUUGGGUAGUGCUUGGAAAGGGGGUUCAAGCCUUGUCAGCAAGUACGCAAUUUCAUUUCUCUGUCCAUUAUGUAGUACAUCAUUGAACAUGUUAUACUUUAAACUGAGAAAUACUCUCUCUAAAUAGCUGAGAUGAAUGCAUAGACAUUUGCAGUUCCGUAGCUCUUGUGUUCCUCGUUUAUAUCAUACAUCAACCACUGAAAAUUCAAUCGACACUUUCAGACAAGUCUGAAUAUUAUGUACAUCUUAAGCUAGUGGACUAACUCGAUUGGUGCAUGGUUGUUCUUGCAGAAGCAGUUGCAUUUUGUUGAAAUGGAAAAAGAUGUAUUAUAUCUUGCAAUUUUUAACACCUUUGGCCACUGUUGUUUAAUUCUUUAUGUUCCUAAUAAUUUAAAUGCCAUAAUUUGGAUCAUUUACAAUAGUUGAACCCAUCUUAUUUGGGUUUCUUCCAAGUUCUAACCCAGUUUGAUAUGUUAUCAACCAUUGGAGAAUGAUUGAGUAUCAGCUUUAUGUGCCAUCGUGCAUUAUUAUUGAGUAUCAGGAAGAUAUUUUAUGUUUAUGUAUCAUGGAUUUAUUACCUGCUAAAGAGAUGACAAUUGUCAUUUCAACUUCUGUUUAGUAUUCCUAUAACCAUCUUUAAUUCCGAGCCAGCCAGAGAUUUGGAAAUUUCGUGAUGUGUAUCAUAUCAAUUCACAUGUAUGCUAUCUCAGAACGGCUGUCCCUGGAUGUUUAUCUUUUUAGGCUCUACUUUUGGAGCUAAUUAAUUUGGAGUAGUCUUUCUACAUUCUUUCUGUUUAUUCUUUUGUGAGCAGCAAAACUAUCUUGGUGUUGUACGUUAAUUUUCAGUAAGUUUAACUACCUGACAUGAAGCUGUGUCUUUCAGGUUGGAGCUUUCUGCUGCGAGUCUAGCUGAUUCCAUUCACCAGGGAAACCUGCCGGGCAAAGCCACUUUUUUGCUCCAUCAGUUAUAGAAGUCAGUUUCCUUGUCAACCAAAAAUUCCUUCACACAUGCCACCAGUAUUGGCUUGGCUUUUUAUGUUUCUCUCCGUAGGUUGAUCAUUUCAUCCUUGUUUUUGCAAUAUAGACUGGUAAGACUUUUACAACUAAGGGGAUGGAAGUGCUUGAGCGGGUUGGAAAAGAGACUAUGGAGCUGCUCAUUGCAGAGACUGGUCUUGAAUUUGAGAAGAGUCCUAAUGAGGUUCACCAAGAAGAUGAUGAGGAACAGUUGGAGGAAGUUACAUUUGAUAGGUGCUUUUAUAUUUAUGGAGGUCCUGAUCUGCUUGAGGUACUACUUAGUGGGAUUCUUACCAGAAUACCAGUGGUUUAUGCUUGUAGUUGACUCUUCCUAAAGUUCACUAAAUAUUUGGAUGCAGGAACUGGAAGCACUGUCAAGCCAUUAUGCUUUGUUGUUUAACAGGAGAAAAGCAAAACUUUUAGCAGAACAGAAAUCCCUUUAUGAUGCUAAACUACAACAGAUCCAGCAAAUCUUCAGUCUGACGGCUGAUGUUGAAGGAAAUAGUGAAGAUUCGAAUAAAGGAAAAAAUAUUGAGACCUUAAGUGGCGACAGUGAUGUCGAGAUGACAAAGUUAUGUGAUUCAAGUGUCAGGAGAGCUGCUGAUAUUGCCUCAGGGUAAUGCAAUCAGAAUAGUUAAUUUACUUGAUGCUGUCUAUCACUCAAUUUAAAACUCAUGAUAGGUAACUAAUUCUUUGAUAUGAUUGCAUCUCUCAGUGACUUACCUAAAGCGACAUAUGAUUGUGAUGGUCCAUGCUGAAUUUAAGUCUGAACUAGCUAUAUAAGUAUUAUGUCACGUUCUGCUAAUUUUGUUAUCCUAUACGGUUAAACUUCCUUGCUCUUAAUGUUUUCUUAUCAUGGAUCAUUGAUUGUGUCAGGUUCACACCAGUUCUUGGAGGACUUUCAGCAAAUGAUAUAAUUCAACGGGCUACUGACAGACUUGAUACAAUGCACUCAGAGUGUAUCCAUGUGCAAAUUUGACGAGGAACUAUAUCUUUUUGUUGUCCUCAUGUUGUACCUCAUCACUGAUUCAUUGCAUUUCAAAUGCAGAGACUGUCAGAACUUUGCUGCUCUGCGGUAUCUCAACUUCUGAUUCUUGGAAAAUCAGUUAUCUCUAGUGCAAACAAAGGAAAGAAUGGAGAAACAGAAGGAGAAACCCCAAAGAUUGAUUGGCCCGAAGAGGCUGUCUCAAAAGCUAAGAUCAUCAGACACAAGGCCCAAUCCAUGUCUGGAAACAUGGAAACAGUUUCUAACAGCUUUAUUACAGGUGUGUUAGAUGAUUGAGUUAAAUGAAUUGUUUAUUUUACUUAUUUGUGCUUUCUCUAGGAGACCAGAUGCUAUCAAAUAGCUUAUGUUACUUUACUGAUUUCUAAAAUAUAAGCUGUCUAAUUAAUGCUUUUGCUAAUAGAAAUGCACACAAUCAGGAACAUUUAAAAAUGAUCUAGCAGAUUUGUUGCCUUUUUUAAUUUGUCUGAAAUUUCUAAUCACAUUAAUGGGCAUUAUUUUUCUAGGAACCUCAGAAAUAGUAGAAGCUUACCUGACAGCUAUACUAAGUGUUUCUUCUGAUAAGCAAGAACUCCCGCAGAGUACUGUACAGGAAAAGGCCAAUGAUAUAACAAACCAUCUCCGAGCUGGUGGAGCCACCGCUGCCGAGAAAAUUCAGGAUGCCCUCCAGUACCUGGCGUACGUGGUUCUCUUUACCUCCAUGCCAACUGUAUAAUAUUCGUGAACGAUUGAUGAGUUCUCUACUUUGUUUGGUGUACUGAUGUCUGUACAUGGUUUAGUUAGCCAGAUUGAAUUAAGCUAAAUCCUUGCACUGCCUUCCCAGUUUGUGGAUUAUAUUUUUUGCAUGGUUUUGGUGUUAUUCAAAUCUUGUUGUGGUUUAUGAUUGUUGUGCUAGGUGUUCGAUCUUCUUUGCAUCUUGUUAUUUGUGCAUAACUUAUGUAAACUUUUGUAAGAUCUCAAAUCGAUUUUGUUGGAAACAAACUCAUGAAAGUCGAACACUAUCCAAUCUUAUCACGUAGAUAACUGAAGAGAAAUUUAAGCAGCUAAAGCUUUCGUUGACUGAACACGGUGCAGCUCUAUCAUGAAUGGUUCACUUCUUGUUCCCAUCGAAUGUAUCUUUUACUUCAAACCUAGAUUUCCAAUUUGAAAAUCUCCAAUUGGCAAUCUUGGUGGAGUAUACGAUCUUUCGCACUAAAAUUAUAUUAUGGCACUAUAUAAAGGAUGCCGGUUAACUUUAGCACUUUAAUCAGUGUUUCUCACUUUAUGAAUAAAUUACUUGGUAUGAUGAUAUAUUAUGGAUUUCAAAACAAUAAUAAUUCAACACUUAUCUUAAUUCAAAUUGAUUUAAUCUUAAAUUACUGACAAAUUAUUAUUAGAUCAACUAUUAUAGAAAGAUCUUAGUUGGUAAAAAUCUUGACAGUUUAUCGUUGGACAAAGACUCCAAUCUAAUUUUCGUCAUUUAUUUUUAGAAAAAAUAAAAAAAUAAAUCAUUAAUUGAUACAAAAGAUUAACUUGUUAUUUGAUGAUAAAAAUAAUUUAUCAUUUUUUUUCUAAAUUUAUUUUAAAAUUAUGUAUCAUCUCAUGUAGGGAUAAUUAUAGAUUGGCCCUCAUAGUUAGUCACGUUUAGUAUACCAGGCUUUAUAUUUUAAAAAAAAUAUUGGUAUCCAUAUAGUUAGUGAAACACUUAUGUUUAUUUUUCCUAAUGACAUUAGUUUUACUAACAAAAAUAUAAAAAAGGAUAAAAAAAGUAAAUUUAACAUUCUGAUGAUAGUGAACAAUGUCGAUGGUGGUGGACAGCGACGCCGCUGGUGCCAAUGCUAACACUAAUGUAAUUACCAAAUGACCUUUCCCCCUCGACGUCCUCCUCUGGUCGACGAUGACAGCGACGACAACUAGAGAGAUGAGUGCGAGGGGGAGAGGAGGCGGUAGCCAGAGCCAUCUUCCACCUCCUCUUCCCCUUGUGCUCACCCCUUAGAGAUGUGGACGGGGCAGAGACGAUCAUGAGAACUUUGGCUGUCACCUCGUCUCCCUCUUGUGCUUACCCUUCUCAUUGUCAUUAUCGAUCGUGAGGGCUCUGACCGAUAACGGCAACAACGACAAUGGAAAGGAUGAGUGAAAGGGGAAGAGAAUGGUAACACGUUGGAUAACGACAAGAGAGAGGAGGUGGAUGACGAUGGUUACAUUAGCGCCAAAGACAUCGUCAUACAUCACCACCAAAAUAUUAAAUUUAUAUUUAAUAUUUUUUAUAUUUAUAUUUUUUUUAUUAAUAAAAUUAAUAUCGUUAAGAUAAAUAAAUCUAAAUAUUUUACUUUUAUAAUUAUAAAAAAAUUAAUAUAUAUAUUUUAAAGUAUUAAGGCACAGAAUCCGAAAGGUGGCUAACUUAAUUAGCCCUCCCACGUAUAAUCUAGCCACCACUGGAUAACGGCAUCUGUAUGUCUAACUCGGUCUUCUGAAUGUGGGGCGUGUCGUGAUUCCCCUUCCCUUACAAAAGCGGACGAUCGACGCGUCUCCGCAAUGGAGGAUCGCCACCUCCUCCCAUCUCCCCCACCGCCACAGCAGACCCGAACGGGACCAGCCCGAGUAUCCGCGGCCGCCCGCAGCGGUCCGCGAUGGUGCACGAGGACGGGGUCGACGGGCAACCGCAGCCGCAGCCGCAGCAGCAGCAGUACAAGCGCCUCGGCGGCCUAGUCGUUGGCAACUAUUGCCACGACGUCCUCUUCCGAGGCGAUCUCCCCGUCGGUGAGACCCUCGGUGGCGCUGCUUCCUUCGUCUCUAACGUCCUCGACGCCCUCGCCCCUUCCACCUCCCUAUACGUCGCCAAGGUCGGCGCCGACUUCGCGUACGCCGCCCCCCACCCUCCCCGCGUCGUCUCCUCCUCCUCCCACACCACCCUUUUCCACGCCCACUUCCCACCUGUCCCUGCCGCCGGAGGGUACCACGGCGAUCGCGUCCUCCGCCGCGUCCGCGCUUGCGACCCGAUCUUGCCCGCCGACCUUCCCGACGACAUUCGGUUCGACUACGGCCUGGCGGUCGGCGUCGCGGGGGAGAUCCUCCCUGAGACCCUCGCCCGCAUGAUUGACCUCUGCCGCGUCGUCCUUGUGGAUGCCCAGGGGAUGAUCCGGUCCUUCGACCCUGUCGAUGGCACGGUCAGGCUCGUGCCGCUCAGGAGCACCGAAUUCUUCCACCUUCUCCCGAGAAUUGGGUUCCUCAAGGCCUCCGCGGAGGAGGCGCCCUUUGUGGACAUCGAAGAGGCGCGAAAGUGGUGCUGCGUCAUCGUGACUCACGGGAAGGACGGGUGCCAGGUCUACUGGAAGGACGGGGAGCUGCACGUAUCGCCAUUCCAAGCAGAUCAGAUCGAUCCCACGGGAGCUGGGGAUAGUUUCAUGGGUGGGUUUGUCUCUGGGCUGGUUUGGGGGCUGCCGGUACCGGAUGCGGUGCUGCUAGGGAACUUCUUUGGUUCCCUCACUGUUACGCAGAUCGGAGUUCCCAAAUUUGACCAGAGGAUGUUGCAGGUUUGGAUUUCUGUGCUUUACUGAUUCUUAAUUGCACAUCAGACCUAUAUAUCCUUUUGGUACUUAUUUGGUUUUCUUCCUUGUGCAUGUUGCUGGUUUUGAUCGAUUCUUAGGUGCUUAUUGUUUUCAAUAUCAUAUUUGCAAUACGUUCAAAUUGAAAGUCCAAUUUUACUUCUUAUGUUUCAAGGUUAUUUAGUAGAUGAAGCCAUUGGUGGGUAAUCAAAUAAAUUAAUAGUCAAAGUCAUGAGUUUCUUCAAAGAAUAAUCAUAGAAGUUGCAACAAAGUUCUCAUAUUGCUUUUUAUUCGUUUAUAGUUCAUUUUCCCAUUUUUCCUCAAUAUCCUUUUUUACUCAAUAUGUAGAUUAUAGAUGCUGUACAUCCAUCUUAUUCACAUUGAAACUGCUUUUUGCAAUUGUUGGGCCUUGGCAUACAUACCUUAGGACUGUGCCACAUAUUGAAGUGUGUUCAAUUCGUUGCAUGGAUAUUCAUUUGCACUUGGUUGGCGUUAACUUCGCAUCUAGAAUGCACCCAAUUCAUCUCUUGAGCUGAAUAUUGGAUAUUUAAAACUUUUUUUUGUCAACAUUUUAACUAACAAAAUGCUCACCAAUGACUCCUCAUGCUAUCAAAUUUUACAAAGUCCAAACUGGGAAGAUCUACCUUAGUAUAGAGGCCUCAAUGGUAGAUGUGAAUUUGAUGAAUUUACGGAGGUGGAGAGGCAGCAGAGAAACGGAUGUUGUUCCCCCUUUAAUGAGAAUUUCUGUAGUUUAGGAAGGUCAUAAUAAUAAUUUUCAAUUUUAUUAUGUCUCCUAGGAGUCGAUCAUAUGAAUUUGUUGGAAAAUUUUGCAUGGUGAUGAAGAUAAUGAAAUAAAAACAAUUCAGAUGUGUUAUACUAUUUUCAUGUUGUUAAGUUCAUGAAGUUGUAUUUAGUAUUCCAUGUAAUUUAACAUCCACACUUGUAGGCCCUGCCAGACAUGUGUUUAUGUAACACAUCAAUUAGUCUCACAUCAGAAGUGUGAUACGGUUAAGAUUGACUUAUAGGGAUCUGAUGAAUGUACUAAUAUUAAUUUCAACUUAAGCAUUUUGAUUAGUGAUUCUGGCUCAAUGAAAUUAAGAGAUCAGUUAUCAUAAUCUGGGUUGUCACAAUUGGUAUUAGAGCCGAUUUAGUAUUGGGGCAUGAUAAUGGGUUCGAGUAGGAAAGGACUACCUGGGACAUGGUCAGACGACAUGUCAUGAUAUAGAGCCAUCACUGGACUAUGCCUCAUAUGCACCAUGCUAGGGUUAAUUAUACUAUGGGAAACCCGUCUGGUCGGGUUAUGACAUUUUAUGUAUAUUUGAGUUGGACACUUAUCAAACUCUUUAAUUAUACUAUAGGAAUAUCCAAUAAUAUCAAAUACAUUAAAUGAAUCUUUUUAUGCUUCUUGGUCCUUUUGCUUCUAGGUCAUUUUUUUUCAUGCAACUUCUAAUAUACCACACUCAAAAUAUCAAAUAUCAUAUUUUCAAAGUCAUUGGCCUCCUAUGGGUUUCUGUUGGACAUGGGGGUAUGCAUCUAUAUUAUAUUCUGAUACCUCAUGUCCAUUGACAUUUGUAUCCCCUUUGAAGUACUAUUAUGUUUUUUUUCCCACUCCCACAAUUCUCUUUCUUGGUUUGAUUUCUUUGGAAAGGGUUUUCUUUUUUAGAUUUGCCCCUUGUGGUCAUUGGAAGUUUCAGGAACUGCUUUGAUUGCACUUGUCCCUCUGAUAUGUAGCACAUGUAGUGGCAAACAUAAAUUGUUGAACAUAAAAGAUGAGAUAGUGAUAGUGACGAAUAGAAAACAUUAUGGAGGUAAGUAAAUUCAUCUGUAAUUGUAAAAUGUAAACAAUUCUGUAUAUUUAGAAUAAGAUGGAAUAUGUAUCUCCCACAUGGAUCAAAUGGAAUUUAAGCCAAAAUUUGCAAGUCUAUAUUUGUCUUUUGCAUAAAAAUUUAGUAAAUGUAUCAAUGGUGCAUUAAACAGUUUCUAAAAAUUUUAAGCUGCAUAACUUGUACUCAAUAUGAAUAAAGGAAUGAACGGGGAAUUGCUAAAUAGAGCAUCGUUGUAUUAAGAGGCUCAAUACAGUCUUGGCCGACGGGACUCCAAUUUCACAGCUUCAUUAUGGGUUGAUAUCUUUAUGAAAAGUCAUUAGAAAGUCAUGUAGGAUGUGCAUGCUCAGAGCACUGUAACACUAAUAUGUUUAUUCCAUCUCUGUAUCUUUUUUUUUCUGCUUGUUUACUUGAGAAUUUUUUUCACUUGUAUAUUACUUUAUGCUUUUGGGUUGGUUUGCUUAUGGUUAAUCCAAUUGUAAAUGUUGUGAAUUGAUGUGAAAUUAUCUGAAUCCUCUUUUUCUUUUCCUCUAUUUGUUUACUUGAAUAUUUUGCUGGAGUUGAGUUGAAUGGUUGAGUCUACAUUGCUUUUAGCUGAUAUAAUUCAACUCAUGCUCUCUCGGGUUCCUCAGCCCAAACAACUAUGCCAUGUAUGCGGCUGUUGUAUUAGUGUGUUCUCUCAUCCUUUAUCCUUAGAGGGCUUGGCCUGCUGUAAGUUGUUAUAUUUUCAAAAAUAUUAUUAAGGAGACCGGUUAAAGAUAGUUUUUGGACUUUUGAGAUGUCUCUCAGAAAUUGAGGUUGUGACCACUUCAUCUGUCAAUAUUUGACAUUUAAUAUGCCUCUUUCUGUGGAAUUUUCCUGAUGAUGAAUGUGACACAAUCUGCUAUUCAUCCUCCAAAAGCAUUGAAUAAAUUUAUAGGAAUAUGUAAAAGAAAUUAGGUGUUCUCUUUUAAGUGUUUGUAUUAGUGAAACGCCUGAAUUUUAUAGAUGAACAGAAGAAGUGCUACAACAAUUUGACAUAUGCAAACUUUAUUUGCAAACUGUCAUUUUUCAGUGAGCAGAGUCAAACGAACUUAUCUGGACUGCUCUUUUCACAAUCUUUUUCAAGCUUGAUCUACUAUUUUCAAUAUUCUGUUAAAUUAAAUAUUGGCAUGGAUCAUCGGACAUUUGAGUGAUUAAAAAUGAACAAUGUAUUCUUCCAUUGUUCCCGCAAAGGCUUUUUCUCAUUUCUCUUUUUUGUCUCAGCAUGUCAAGGAAGAACUGAAGAGAAGAGCAGCUCAGCAUUCUGGAUCAUGUGGGGGAACUAUUUCAUUGGAUUUUCAUAAGUCAGAUACGCAUGAAGACUUCCUAGAACACCUCACUGGAGCCGCCAAGUUAACAUGCACCGGUAACCCAACUGAUUUGCAUACCAAUCAGGACAACCAAUGUCAGUAAAUUUUAGUCUUCAGUUUUUUUUAAGUAGAGUUAUAUACUAGUGAUUAAAUAGUGAGCAUCCUUGUUGAGUUAUCAAUAAUCGGGAGUAGAUCUUCCGGAGAAAAGUAAUGAACAUACAUUUUGAGACCUGGAGAUGUCUUGGAAUAAUCACAAAGUCAAAGAUAGCUUUAAGUUAUUUCCCUCCUUGCUUUCUCAGUGAUUCUCGGUUGACUUUUUUUCUUCUUUUUUUCUUUUCUAUCUUAUUGAGGACUAUGUUCUUUUCUUGUCAUAUUGUCUAUUUCGGUUCAGUGGAAAUAAAAUUGGCACAGAUGCGAGUGGUUUUAGUUUCGAUUCUGAACCGGAUUAGGUGAUUUCGAACCAAGUGAUCUCAAAUGGAAUCAUCAUUUUUGAAUUUUUGAUUUUUUUCAAUAAUAUUUAAUCUUCACAUGGGUCCCAUUACGCUCUGUCUGAUGAGUCGAGGACAAGCCCCUUGUAGGCCAUCAGACUCCCUUAAUGUGGGGCCUGAAAGAAAUCUUCCGCUUCAUCUUCCUUCCAUAAAUCUCGACCUUUUCAACUUUAAAUAUCAGACAUUCAUAUGACGAGUACGAGGAAGGCCCAUCUUUCCUCUACCAUCCCCCACUUUCCUCUAGUUUGAUGUCUCUCCUUCAUUGAGCAUUUCUCUUACUUAGAGAGCAUUAUAGAAUACUAUGUUGGCGGAGGCCAUGGUGGUCUCGUCUCCCUAUUUCCCUACCCGCUGCCCAUGCCAGUGGCCAUAAAAAGAAUGUCUUCCAGCUUGAGAUUACCGAUUGUAGGGUGUGAAGUGGCUAACUUUUGUUCUUUUGUUUUUGUUUUCAGUCAAUUCAGAUCUGAACCGCCUCCCUCAGUUUCAGUUUGAUUCAGAAUUGUUUACUGAUUCCGAUUCCAAGGGUGUAAGGAAUUGAAAAUGGAUCAGCACCCUCAUUUCCGGUUCGAUUGAAAACUAUUGAUCGGUUCCGGUUCGAUUCAGAAUCAUAAAAUCGUUGAUCGAUUCCGAUUUGAUUCAGACUCAUAAAAUCAUUGAUUAAUUUUAAUUUUAAUUGAUUCGAUUAUCAUUUGAUUUUUUUAUUCAAGCUUAACAUAUAUAUAUAUAUAUAUAUAUAUAUAUAUAUAUAGAGAGAGAGAGAGAGAGAGAGAGAGAGAUGGAUGAACAAAUAAAUAUUGAUUAAAGUGAAAUACAGGUGUUAUAAGAAUGGUGCCACAAGCGUCGAUUCGAUUCGAUUCGAUUCACGAUUCUUCUCCCUGCAACUACAAACCCAUCACUGUUGACCUCGGUUUCGUUGUCAACCCAAAUCCAAACGGGAACAGGGGAUCGUAGUUCUCGUCACCAACGUUCAUGGGGAGCUGGUCCACCGACUUGAACCAAGUGCGAGGCAGCUUCCCGGUGAAGCCGAAGUCCCCGAAGAGCACAUCAGCGACCCCUUGGCCUUCGGAUCCCGGCAGCCACGCAGCCACAAGCGCGUCCAUCGAUGGCACGUACGGCUCGAUGACCACGGGCCUGCCGGAGAUGAUAACCACCACGCACUUCACCGCGCCGCACACAGAUUGGAUCGUGCUCGGCCCAGGCUCGGGAAUGGUGAGGUUGAGGCUGUCUCCAGCAGUCUCAGAGUAGGACGGCUCCCCGACGACGACAAUGGCAUAGGAGAAGUUGUUGCUCUUAACAAACCCGGCGUCCGGGUUCUCAGAGAACACUACUUUGGUUGAUGGAUCUACCGUGGCUCUUACAGCCUCCAGGAUUGUAGUACCUGGAAAAGAAGAAGGAUCAAGCUUUCAUUUAGCGUUCAGAUCAAGGCGUAUUGUCAUCCUAAGCAUGAAAUGGGAGGAGCAACAAGAGUCGAGACAUACCAACGGUGAUGUUUCCACUACUUCCAUGCCACUCUAUGGUCCAACCGCCGCACUGGUAGCCAAGGUUGUCUGCAUGGCUUCCGGCAACAAGAAUCUUCCCGGCCUUCUUUGGCAGUGGCAGCAACGGCUUCUUACUAGACUUUCCAUUCUUCAACAGCACAAGUGAUUUCCUUACAGCUUCCCUUGACAACUCCCUGUGCUCCUGGAUGGUUACGAUAAAGGAUUUGUCAGGAGAUGGAAAUCCAAACUGGAGUGAGUUGACUGCAAGCAAGGAGACCGAGAACAGACAAGCAAUUUACCUUCUUUCCAAGCUGGUCAACCAAGCUGUAGUCAGGUAGAGGGUUCUCGAAAAGACCCAUGGCAAACUUCACCCGCAAGAUCCUUCUUACAGCAUCAUUAAUUCGGCUCUUGGGGAUAACUUUGGCAUUAACCAGAGUUGUCAGAUUAUUAAUGAACCCAAGAUAGUCAUCUGGGACCAUGACCUGCAAAAAAGCACAGUAGCAUCAAGGAUAUGUGAGGCUGGCUAGAACACCAUGUUAAAGAGCCUAAAGCCACCGGGCAGGCAUUAUUAGAACAAUAGAGAAACUUCCUAUGUCCAGUGGCAAUCUCUGCUAUGCAUUCUCAUGCAUUGGAUCGAACCUAAUUCGAAAAUGCUGCGACAUCGUGCAGUCUUUGACAAACUAUAAUUUAUAGUAUAAUUUGGAUCAGUGACGCUCAUUCUUCGACAUAAAUUUCUCACCAUAUCGAGACCAGCGUUGAUCGACUUCUCAACAGAGUAAGUGUAAUUUGCUUUUGUUGGGGUGGUGAGUUUAUCGAUGCCCGUCCAGUCUGAGAUCACGAAUCCCUGACAACAGUUUGAAGCAUAUUGAGUCGUGAUACAUUCUCAAGCAGUGAAUGAAAAGGUGUUUAUGGACUCUUUCGUGAUCUACCUUGAAACCAAGCUUCUUCUUGAGAAAGUCUGUGACUAGAAAACGGUGGGCAUGCAUUUUAACUCCUUUCCAGCUUGAAAAAGAAAGCAUGACUGUGGAGACACCCAUCUUGAUGGAGUCAUAAUAAGCAGGCAUAUGGAUUCUAAGGAGUCCACUGAAGUCGACAAGAGUGUCAUUCUCGUUGAUCCCUUUGUGUGUUCCACCAUCGCCAACAAAGUGUUUGGCGCAAGCUGCUACAUUGUUCCUGAGAAGCACAUGAGGUUACUUGUGGUUUGAUAAAUUACUAGUAUCAUAAUUUAGCAGUAUGAAUGUUAGAAGGAAAUAAAGAACUAUCAAUACUCACAAACAAUUAAAUUGAAAUUUUACUAAUUUCAUGGCUGCAUUUAGAAAAUUGAGACUCUGUGAUAUGAAAAGGAUUAUCUAUCAUAAUGCCUUGAGCAUUAUCUAUCUAUCUAUCUAUCAGAAGAAUUCCCUAUUAGGAACUGAUAACAAGACUUGUGAUGCAUUGCGAUGAACUACAGAGUCUAAGCUACAUUUGCUUUUCAAGCAAAGUUGUUUCUUUUGGAUUUAUCAACAACUUCAGUGUUAUUAGAAUUCUGAAUCCUUACUUUCCAGCAACAUAAGGGAAUUUUUUUGUGUAGUUGGCAGGGACAUCUCCCUGUAAACCAAGAAUAAUUUGGGUCAUUGCCUGCACAACCCUGUGAUCCUCGCUGUAACUCUCAAAGCAUCUGCCCCACCUCGGAUCUCGACAAACCUGAAUCAGGAAGGAGGAAUAUCAAAUCAACAGAAAAUAACACUUCUGAAAAUCCAACUCAAAAUUUGAAUUUCAGAACACCAAAAAUGCAAAAAAAAAAAAAAAAAAAAAGACUUGCUUACCGCGAUACAUGGCGCAAAAGCGUAAGGAAUGCCUGUUGCUCUGAUUUCAAGAGCAGUUGCCACACCAAUCUUCUUUACAAGAUCAGGAUCCCUGCACAUAACAAUUAAGGUCCAAGAAUCAGAGAUCAGGAUGACUAGAUUGUGUUGGAUUUCACUCGAAAGAGAUUGAUAAUUAGACAAUGUCAAACAAUUCUUAAGUACAAUCAUUAGGCAGUAAGCCAAGAUAGGGUGAGAAGAGAACAAUAGUGAUUUCUUCAUUGCUUAUGAGUAUGCCAACAGUAUCAACAACAAAAAAAAAGAUAUAAUGAGUUGAAUAGAGCAGAGCAGUAAAUCUAAAAUCCUUCUCAACCAUAUGAAAAACAAAACCAGUAGUACUUCCCAAGCAUUUCACCAAUAGAUUAUAAAGUUCAUACUUGGAUGGCCAACCUGUGUUCCAACUAACAAAUGAUGAUCUCAAAUCAAUUUUCAUCAACAGGUGUGGUUUGGCAAACCAAGAGCUAAUUUUAGCAAUAUUUCGUAGAAAUUUAAAAUCACAAUAUGCAACAAAUCGAAGUAAAUAUGUAACUUGCCUUGUGGCUCCAAGACCAAUGUUGUGAGGAAAUAUGGUUGCAUUAUAGACGUUAUUGUUGCCAUGAACAGCAUCGAUCCCAUAAAUCAUGGGAAUCCCCAAUCGUGUCGACAGGCAGACCUUCUGGAAUUUAUAUAUCAUAUCAACCCAGUCCUUAGCAGAUGCCCGAGGAGAAGGAACACUUCCCCCGCCACUAAGAAUGCUACCUGUAAGACGUGUAUGAUUCAGUACGUGUGCUGCCAGCUUCUCUUCCCUUUCAGUAGAGUAGUACAAAGACCAGAUGAAUGCAUUUGUUGAUACUCACCAAUGAAGUAGUCCUUCAAGACUUGGGGUGUGGAAACUUCUCGCUCGAUUUGUGUCAUUUGACCAAUUUUUUCAGCAAGAGUCAUGCGCUUCAACAAAUCUUUGACUCGAACAUUCACUGGCUGGUUGGGAUCUUUGUAUUUCAUGUACUCUGCUUGUAUGGUUGCCGUCCAGCACAACAGGAACAGAAUUCCAAGCAUUGGUGUCUGCCGAGUUGCCAUCUUUAGAUGCAGCAGUAACCUUCUCGGAUCCUAUCGACGGACCUGUUACUGUAAGAACAUGAAAUUAUCUUAAAAGACAAAGCAAAGCAAACAAGAAGAUGCAUGGGGUUGAGCCCCUUGAUCAUCAGAAAGCUCUCACUCUGCAAAUCAGAAACCGAGAAUCGCAAAAGACCAACCACAUAUGGACGUAUAUAUGUAUAUGAUGAUAUCAAUCCAGUCAAGAAAUUAGCUAGAAAAUGUUGUGGGUCGAAAAGAACAAAGCUAACAAGCAUAUCAAGCAGGUCAAAAUGACGAAAGCAUAUUAAGCUAACAAAAUGGAGAAAAGAGCGGGUACCGAGCACUCGCAAGUUACCAAGAAAGAAACACUUCUAUAUAAUUAAAUUUUAAAUCUAUUUUAUAUGAAUUAAACAAUCCAAUAAAUUCACGAUCCCAAUAUAUAUAUAUAUAUANNNNNNNNNNNNNNNNNNNNUCAAUCUUAAAAUAAUUUGAUUUAAGAUAAAAUGACAGAAAUUUCAUAAAAUUCAUCAACUAGUCUUUUGCUAAUUAUGAUUUAAGCUUAAAAUACCAUUGUAAUUCAUGCAACAUCAUCAUGAAAUUAAAUAAUUAUUUUACCAUAAAAUUUUAAAUAUCUGAAAUUUCGAAAUUAAAAUAUUAUUAUGCAUUACAAAAUAUAAUAAUUCUAAUAUGAAAGAUUUUAAAAUAUAAAUCAAAACUUUAUAAGAAAAGAUAGAAUACAUACCACUCUUCUACGAAAAUCCGUUCCUCCGUUCCUCUAAGCCAAGCCGGAUGAGUAAUGAGGGAGAGGCAACCUUUUUAUAGGAAAAGAUGAGCACUCCCAAUAAGAUCAGAAAUAAUUUAUUUUUUUAUUUAUUUUUAUUUAUUUUUAUUUUUUAUACAAAGUAUACUUUAAAUAUUUAUUUCACUGAUUAGGAAAUAAAUUAAUUAGUAAAUUUUGGAUUGUUUGAUUAUUUAAGUAGUUACUAAAUUUCUUACUUAAGAAAAUUAAUUUUAAUUAUUUUAUUAAUCACAUAUAACAAAUAUGAUAAUAAAAUAUUCAAAUUAUCAAGACACUAAUUAUUUAAGUAGUUACAAUCUGUUACACGAUUUUGUUCUUAUCAUUAAGUAAAAUAAGAAGAAAUGAUCACCACACAAUAAAAACCAAUCUUCCCUAUAAAAAGCAAACAGAAAAAAAACCCUAAAAAUAAAAAAAUUAGCAUCAACAAGACACAAAAUGAAGCAAUCUAAGGUAGAUGCAUGCACUAAAAAACCAGAUUCAUCCAAAAUUGAACUCAAUAAAUGUUAUUGUAGAUUUUAGUUGUUCGAGUUGGAACGAGAAAUGAGAUAUGUUAUAAUGUAACUUGGGGGUGUUCUCGAUAAAUAUCUCUCUGACGAUUAGAUUUGGGAUUUGGACUGAUCAAAUUAGUCAGAAAUUAUUACAGAAUUAUUUAGUUAUGAAAGUGUAUUUGGGAGUCCCUUUUAUGGGUGGACCAUAAAGACCUUUAUGUUCGAGAUUAUUGGUGGUUGGAAGCGAAUGUGAAGUGUUUGGAGCUUAAUCAUGAUUCUAUGUCUGUGGCGUCCAACACACGUUGAUCGACCACUUGUUACGACAUUGUGUCUUUUAUGUUGUACCUUACCUAUCACUAGCACCCCAGCCCCGCCCCUCCCCCCCCCCCUUCAAACUUUCAAGCUCAUUGGGUUGUAGGACUAUCAAGCUAAAAAUUAUUGUAUCUAGCAUCAUUAAUUUUAAUGAAGGGGUGUCUACUAGUUAGGUCAUCAACUAAGAGUUAUUUAAAUGUCUACUAGUUAGGUCAUCAACUAAGAGUUAUUUAAAUGUGAGUCUUGCACUUUAGUUAUGGUGUUGUAGUAAUGCACAUUUGGGCCUUAGAUUAUGUAUUGUCAAAAUGCAUGUUCAACCUUUCGACUAUGCGUCGUCGAAAUAUAUAUUCAUAAUUUUAUCUAUGUAUAUUUGAGAUGCACAUUCAAACCUUAGGUUGUGAAGCAUGAAAAUAUGUAUUUAGUGUUUCGAUUAUGCAUCAUCGAGAUGCAAAUUUGGCCUUUAGGUUGUGCAUCACUGAAAUGUGUGUUUAGCCUUUUGGCGGUUAAUCAUUGAGGCGCAUAUUUAGCCCUUAGGCUAUGCAUCAUCAAAAUACGCAUUUGGUCUUUUGGUUAUGCGUCGUGUUUGACCCUUCGGCUUUGCAAGGGUCAUUGGCUUGCACAUUUGACCCUUAGGUUGUGUUAUUGAAAUAUGUGUUUAGCCAUUCGACUGUUAAUUAUUGAGGUACACAUUUAGCCCUUAGGUUAUGCAUUAUCGAAAUACGCAUUUGGCCUUAUGGUCGUGCGUUGUGUUUGACCCUUCGACUAUGCAAAGGUCAUUGACUUACCCAAUGAGUCUGGCCAUGUAUGCUCGUGUGCAUUAUUCAUCCCAUUAUUUGAUAGUCACAUUGAUUCGGUCGCCUAUCGAACCCGAUAAAAUUUUAUCCUUGUAAUUAUGGCUUGAUACAUGUGUGACAUGGCGCUUGCUCGGGUGUCUAUAUGUGGUUACAUGUGCCUUUCGGGAUUCAAAUGAUCAGAAUAGUUGCAAUGCCCAACCUCAUCUAAUGGCAUGUCGCCAUGUUGUUAAUCAACCAAAGUGACGAGCAACGAGGUGGUUAGUCGAAGGGUUACUCGAGCACUAUAAAUAGCCCCUUAAGUUUUUUUUGGUCCUUUCAUGCAUUUAGCUAUUCUUGGAGUAUUCUAACCUUUAGAUACUUCAAUGCUCUUCGACCUUUUGGCUUUUCACACUCUUAUUAAGGUCCGAAUGUCUUCCUCAUGAAGUUUAUGUAGUUGGGUAUACUCUUUUCGUGUUGUAUAGUUCAUGAAGUUGUAUUUAGUAUUUCAUAUAAUUUAACAUCCACACUUGUGGGCCCUAAUAGACAUGUUUUUAUGCAACACACCAAUUAAUCCUACAUCGAAAAUAUGAUAUGACUAAGAUUGACAUAUAUGAGUUUGAUGAGUUUGUUAUUAUUAAUUUUAGCUUAAAUAUUUUGGUUAGUAAUUUUGGCUUAAUGAAGUUAUCAUGAGUCAUCAAAGCCAACUUAGUAUUGAGGUAUGAUAAUGAGAUUAAAUAGGAAAAGGCUAUUAGAUUAUAUGGUUCUAUCUAAUCGGAUAAGAUAUAUUAUAAAUUUGAUUGGAUUCUAGUUAUGAUUAUCAGUAACAUUAAAAAAGUCCAAUUAUGAUAGGAUUUCUUAAGAGAUGAUUUUGAUUAAAAAAAAUGACAUGAUACACUUUUUUUAUAUUUAUUAUAUUAUUUGAUAUUUUAUCACUUUAUAUGCUUGUGGCAUAUAUAUAUAUAUAUAUAUAUAUAUAUAUAUAUAUAUAUAUAUAUAUAUAUAUAUAUAUAUAUAUAUAUAUAUAUAUAUAUAUAUAUAGUGAUGCUCAUGGAUCUGUACAAUGAGAAUCAGAACGUGAUGAGAUUACGAUAAUGAGACUGAUUCACCUUUAAACACACACCCUAGAUAAUCAUAGUCAUAGGUUACUCAAGAGGAACAUCGAGAUAACUAGAUAGAUUGGUGUGCUGUACACCCGUCCAUAUGAUAGAGACAGUUGAUCCCAUAGCUACUCGUGUGGGGACAGUAGGGCUAUAGUGUAGAUGCUCAUUGAAAAAUAAGUUCACUAGUUGAUCCGCUCACGGACUGCUGGAUGAUUAAUAAUACCUCAUUAUCAAACAGUGAUUCUGUUAUCCUAGUAGUAUACUUGGUCCUUAGACUUAAGACACCAAGGAUGUACUAUAUGAGUACUUCACUCUUUGAUACUCUACUUUAGGUUUGAAAGUUUCAGAUCUAAGAUAAUUAGUCAUCGGGAGUGGUAGCCAACCUUAUGAGUGCUAUUAAGUGUCGAUAGAGGAUCAUCCGCUCUCGGUGUCAUGCGAGGAAUAUCCCAUGUAUUCUUGCUAAGACAAAUCUCUUGCAAGGGUCAUUCGGAUUGAGAGAGAAAGAGUUCUCCGGGAGAAUCUGAUUAGAGCGAGACUCGAGUAGAAACUGUAUGGGUCUUAUAGUACCAUACCCGGUAUAUAGUCUCUGAGAUAUUAGAUGGAUGAUGAACUAUAGAUACACGAUAAUUGAGGACAGAUAGGUCCAAAGGAUUGGAUUCUUCUAUAUCGCUUGGGACUACGACGUAGUGGCAUAGUACGCUCGUAGUCGAUGAGUUGAGUGAAUUAUUAUGAGGAUAAUAAUUCACUGAGCCAGAAGGAGUUCUGACAAGUAUAACUCAUGGCCAGCUCGAUAUUGGGCCUAGAGGGUCACACAUAUAAGGUAAGCAUUUUGACGAGUAGAGGUUCGAAUAUGAGAUAUCCACCGAAGCCCCUAUCUUAUUGGAUAUCCAAUAAGCCCUUGAAUUAUUGGAUCCUAUGGAUGAGAUCCAAUAAGAGCCAAUGAGAAAUUAUUGGAUAAAAAUUUACUAAUCUAAGAGGUCUGGAUAGUUGAAUGGAGAUCUAAUACCCAAUAGGGCAAGAGGAGGGAACCAAAGACCUAUAGACUAGAAGCUUCUUGGUUGCUACCUUUUAUUCUCCUCUCCCAUUCUCCUCCUUAGAUAACAGGUGUAGAGAUUUAGGUAGCGAUUUGAAGAGUGUCGUCGCAGCUCUACUAUGUAGAUCACCGCUAGAGAGGAGGACACUUGACCUCCUUCAUCCUCUCUUACAGAUAUGCAGGAUUUCAGGGAUAUACGAUCUCCCUUGGUAAAAUAUUAUCUCACACGUGGAUUCAAGUUUUACGAGUUUUUACGCACCAAUCUUUGCAUGACGACAAACACCUUUUUGAAAAAUUUGGGGUUUUUGUUUUCUGUUAUUCCGCUGCGCAUGUGAUGUUGCCCCUAGAUUUUCCUACACUGACAACGAUACACGUGCAAAUCAGAUAAAAGUUUUCUGAGUAGCUUUGGAAGGUACACAUCAUAAAUUUGAUAUAUUGUUAUUUGAUUACAAUUUCUAGCAUUAAAGUUUUUUAUAUUUACAAUUGGUAUCACAGCCAUGCUUUAAAAUCAGAUACUUUAGAUCGUAAAAGUAUUUCAGAUUUAUUUUAUAUUUAGAUCCGUUUAUUAGUAUCCUUCGCUUACAAAAAUAUAUUAUUUAAUUUUGAUUUAUGAUGGUUGAACGAUCUAUUUGUAUUGUUGAUAUACUUUCAUAUCUCAUCCAUCUUAUCACAUGCUUAUAAAUGAUAUGAGAUUCCUCAUAUUUGAUUGAUGGAUCAUUGUUGACAAUUUAUUGUUAGCAAUAGUAUUAUUAAAGGUGGCGAUCUCUGGUGAUCGUCAUUCCAAUCGUGGGUAGCAGUUGCGUACGGAACAUAAGCACCAUGGGAUACGACAUCAUUAUUGUGGCAACUGCAACAAAAUUCAUGCAACGACUAUGAUGACUAAAGUAGUGCCAUGGCUAUGAUAAUUGCAUCAACGUCAUUGUGAUACUUACAAGCCAUGACUAGUAUCGAUUGGACGUCAAAGGCUGCAAUAGCCAAUGGUUGCACGACAUACUCGUAAGCACCAUCGAGCACCAUGAUAAUGGUAUGGUCGUUAGUUGAUGCAUAAUCGCACAUAGGCAUGAUGACACAGCCUUAAUAUUGAGAAAAAUCUUAAACUAGGUACAGUAGGAGUAAAAAUCUCUAAUUUUAAUUUUGAUAUUAAAAAAUAAAUAUUGAUAUUCUUUUAUUAUUUUAAAUUUGAGAGAUUAUUGUUGUUCAAGUUACUAAAAGAAUUAAUGAGAGAAUAACAAAAUAGCAUUGAUGAACUCUUACAUGAUGUUAAUGUCAUUGGUAAUAAUCUUGUAGAACAAUCAUAACUAGUAGUCUUGAGAAGAUCUCACAUAGAAAGGAGGUUUAUCAUUUUUUAUUAUUAUAUGGUAUAUCUAUAAUAAUCAUAUUAUGAUAUAGGAAUAAAAAUGACCUCUCAUUGUUUUCAUAAGUUAUGAAAAGUGGUACGAUGCGAUGAAAAAAUAGUUGAAAUCAAUGAACUAGAAUAGUAUCUGAAAACUCAAUAAAUCAUCCAAUAACUAUAAAAAAGACUAUUAUAUAAACAUCACUCAAAAUAUAAUAUCAAACGAUAUAAUAGUUAAACUUUUGGUCAAAUGUUUACUCAUAAAGAAUGCAUCUAUAAUAACGAGGUAUUUUUUUUAGUUUUGAAAAUGAUUUCAUUAAGAAUCAUAACAAGUUUUCUAAUUAGGGAUAUAGUUUUCUAUGGAUUAGCCUAAAUAAGAGAAAAUAAAAGAAAUAUAAAAUUUGACAUAUAAAUUAAAAAUUAUUUAUAAACUUAAACAAGCUUUCAGAUAAUGAUAUAUAAAAUAUCAUAAUACUAUUACUUUCUUCAGAUUUAAAAAAAAUACUAUUAUUCAAUGUUUAUAUUUGAAGGUCAAUGAGAGCUAGUUUAUUAUAUUGGUCUAUGUGCAGAUAAUAUUUUGUAUACCAGUAGUAAUCUUGGUUUAUUAUGCUAAACCAAAAAAUUUCUUAUUAAGAGUUUUAAAAUGAUUGAUAUGAAUAAAGUAUCUUAUAUUAUUAGUAUUGAGAUAUUUAGGGAUAGAUUUCAAGGAUUAUUAUGAGUGUCUAAAAGAAAAUAUUUAUCGAGUCUUGGAGAGAUUUAGUAUACAACUUUAUUCAAUAAAUGAUAAAAAUAAAAUUUUUAAUCAAAAUAAAUAUUUUUAAAAUAAUUUUAUUAAGGAAUAAAAAAAAUUCAUUAUAUAUGCAAAGUUGGAAAUAUACUAUAUACUCAAGAGUAUACCAAACCAGUUAUCAAUUUUAUAGUUAGAAUACUGGGUAUAUACUAGAGUUACCUAGGAUUGAAAUACUAAAAGGUUAAAAAAAGAAAGCAAUAAGAUAUAUGAAAUAGACGAAGGAUUAUAUAUUCACAUAUAUGAAAUUAGAUUAAUCUAAAAUUAUGAUAUUUUCAUAUGUUGAUUAUGUAAAUUAUCUCAAUAAAGUAGGAAGUCCAUUUUGUAUUUUAUAUUUAUAUUAGUUAGAAGGAUAAUUUAUAGAAAAUAUAUAAAAUAAUAUAUUAUUAUAUUAUUAUUAAUACAAGCUAAUUUUGUGAUAUGUUUUGAGGUUACUAAUCAAGUUUUAUGAUUAUGAAAUUUUAUCUUAUGAAUUGGUAUGGUCAGACUCAAUUAUCAAGUCGAUAAAGAUAUUUUUAACAUAUCGUAGUAGUUUUUCUUUAAAAAUAACAAGUAUUAUUAUAUGUAUAAAGUAUGAAUGAUUUUAAAAAAAAUCUAUAAACAAUUAAUAUAUCGAUUAAGAGCUUAAGUGUUACUGUGUUUGACUACUAAUUUAUUUACUUAGGAUUUACAAUAUAAAGUGAUGGAUAAUAGGAUUGUCUUGACUAUAGUAAUCAUUUUAUACUGUAUUAAAAAAAGGUCAACAAUGUUAUGGUUCAAAAAUAUGAUAUCGAUGAUAUAAUAUGCUUCAUAUUUAUAAUCAGACUAAUAUAGUAUUACUAUGUUUAUUGAACUUAGCCUAUUUUAUAAAAUUCAUAUAUACAUAUAAAAGAUUUUUAAAAUUUUUUAAAUCUAAUUAAGUAAAAUUAUUUUUAAAUAAAAUUUUAUUUUAUUAAUUAAUGAUUCAAAAAAAUCAUAUUAUAUGAUUUUAACUAAUUCCUACAUAGAGACGAAAUAAUUCUUUUGAAAAUCUAAAUAAGAAUAAUUAUCCUAAUUAUCUAUUAUUGCUUGUUGAACAAAAAUAAUAGAUAAGUCAUUACAUUUAUUUAUCUUUGCCUCCACGAAAGCAUAAUCAUGUGAUAGAGCAAGUAUAAUUUAGCGAUUAGCAUUGAUAGAGCUUAUCCCUGGGUUAGAGGGAGCCCUGCCAGAAAUUCUCGUUGGCGCUGAGUCAAACCCAGACCAAAGAGGGGGUUUGGAAAUAGUUUUCAACCAGCAAUUGUCGCGCCUCGGUUAUAACCUCACAAGCUGCGACAUUGCCCCAAGCGCAAAGAUAACCUACCAAUUAGAAGCGCCUCCGCUUUUAUAGCCCAGCCUCCUCCCUUCUGUCUUCGUUGUUCUCAAUGUGGGACUAAAACUGCGCCGGUUGAUGAUAACUGAAGCCUCUCCUUGUUAUUAAACAUAGAGUUAGUCUUUUGGUAUUCUAUCUAAUUUCUUUCUUAUCUUGAUAGGAAAACCAAAAAUGAAGUUUCAACCUAUUCCUCAAGUUUUAUUAUAUUACCAUUAGUGUUGCAAUAGAUUAUGAUCGCCCAUCAUAUAAAGAAUUUUGAGCUAAAUUUAACGUUAGGACUUGUGGUAAGUUUAGGCGUCAGAAAAUAGUUUAAUUCGAUUAGAUUUUCUAUAAUAUUUUAUCAGGAUACUUAAACUAAAAAGGAAGUUCAAAAUAAUAAAUAUGUAAUAUUAACAAAGAAACAAAGCGCCUGUAGCUCAGUGGAUAGAGCGUCUGUUUCCUAAGCAGAAAGUCGUAGGUUCGACCCCUACCUGGCGCGACGUGAAAAAUAUAUUUAUUUUACUUACCAAAAAAAUAAUAUUAACCAAAGAUCUCUCAGAUAGUAUUAUGGAAAUUUUUUAUAUUAUGGAGAUUUUUAUAAUGAUUUCAGUAAUUAACAUGAGUAUCGUGGAUUUUAAUUUGAAUUUUAAUUACAUAUGUUAUUCGAACAUUAGACUUUAUGGAUGGUAAAAUCUUAUAUCGUAUUAAUUCGAUAGGACAUUUGUAUUAAACCAGUAUAUCCGUUGUUUAUUAAUAAUAGAUGGCACAAAUACAACUAAGGAUUGUGAUAUAUUACUAUCACAUCAUGGAUUUUUUUCACGAAAUUACAUGUAAGAGUCAAAUAAAUAAAUAUUUUUUAUUAAUAUACAUAAAUUAUAAAUAUUUAUUAUAAUUUAUUUAUAAAUCAAAAUAAAAGUUGAAAGUAACUAUAUGUUUUAUUGGGAAACAUAGUAAUAUUAACUUAAAAAUAAAAUUCAACUAACUCUAUUUAAUGAUAGAGGAAGGUUUACUUUCUAUUGUGAUAUGAUUUAGUGUUAUUAGGAGAUUACUCUAAAAAAAUUUUAAAAAAAAUUCAGCAAGUAGGAACCCUAUAAGUCAAUUGUAAAAUGAUUUCAUAUUCAAAAAUCAAUCAUCCUAUUAACGUAUAUCAAAUACCUAAAAGAGCAUUCCCCCAACAUGGAUAGAGAGAUUAUAUCACAUGAGAUAAAUUUAUGUUUUAAAUAAAUUCAUAUCACACUCCUAAUAGCGGAUGAAAUAAUAUCCUUCAUAUGCCAAAGUAGGGACAUAUUCCUCCCAAUAACAAAUAGAGGAAUUGUGUAAUCGUUACAUCUAACGGUCCAUUAAUCCUUGAAAGGAAUCACCCUACUUGUUCUUGGCAUAAAACAAAAUCAUAUGAUACUAGUUAUGUCUAUAUCAUGAUGAAAUAAUUUAUUAAAAUAUCUUAAUUUAUUUUUUAAAUAUCAUUAAUGUCAAAUAAAUUAGUCCAUUUGAACCCUAACUCAAUCAAUUCAGUUGAACUCGAAUUAACUAAAACCUAACUAAAUCGAUCUUUAAUCCUCAUUUAGUUGAUCUCGAAUCAUCCUAAACUGAUAUAAUUUGGACUAGAUUUGAUUCAAUUUAUGUAAAAAAGAUUUUAAUAAGUCAAACAAGUUUCGAAUUAUAAUGAUUCAAUCUAAACUAAUUAAAUUUGAAUUGAUUCAAUCAAUAUUUGAGUCAAACACAUAAAGUAAUAGCAAUAUGCUAUACUACAUAGCAUUAGGUUAGGUUGGGUGAACCUAUAUAAUGGUUAUAUGUAGUGCAUAUGAUUAUAUAUACAUCAUAUAAGCUAGGCCAAUCCAUGGACUGAUUGUAUACAUUGUACAUGAUUACCCAUUUAAGUUGGGCUAUGCUAAUCUACAAGUUGGGCCUAGCCUACCGGUUAGACUUAGUUUGCAUUAAGUUCAACCUAUUAGUUGGGCUUAACUUAUUAGUUGGGCCUAGUCUACUUUCAACUCAAAUAUUAAUCAAUUCUCUUGAAUUUGAAUUAUAACAUCAUAAAAUUAUAAUUAAAAUAUUUAACCGUUAACUUUGAAUCAUAACAACAUAAUAAAUAAUAAUAAUUAAAAAGAUAAAAUUAUAUAAUGGUCAUUAACAAUUCGAACUUCCAUAUAACAAAUAACCUCAAUUGGAUAUCAUAAGGUAUUUAACAUUUCUCUUAGAAACUAUUUGAAGUACCAUAAUAAUAAAAUGAAAUAUUAUAUGCAAUCGAGGUCACCGUGGUGAUAACGAUGCUAGCUCGUCUCCUUUGUUUCCCUACUAUCUAUUUAUACCAAUGGUUUUACUAGUUUCGAUUUUAUGAUAUAAAAACAAAAAUAAAAUAUCAUCCACAGUUUUAGUUUGAUUCAAAGUAGUUGAUUUAUUCUGAUUCGAUUUAGAAUAAUAGAAUCAUAAAUUGAUUCCGAAUCAUAAAAUCAUUGAUUAAUUUUAAUUUUAAUUCUAUUAGUUUAGUUACCAUUUGAUUUGGGAUUCAAACCUAACUAUGAUCACCACUUCGUAUACCUCAUUCGCUUGCAAUAUUUAAAAUCUCGUCAGGUGCCAAGGCACGUAUCUCGAAGGAGAUAUCCUGCUAAGACACGACGUGUGUAUUAAUUAAAGAAAGAAAAACCAAGAGAUUGAAUCCUUCCAAUAGGCCACAUCUCUUAGAAAUUCCAUUAAUCAAGAUCAACAUAUACAUACAUGCAAGUUCACAGAAGUUUGGAUGGAUGAGCAAAUCAACGUUGAUUAUAUAUAUAUAGAAUGAUGCCGGAUCCGAUUCUAGAUUCUUCGCUGCUACUCAAGACCCUACACUGUUGACGUUGUCAACCCAAAACCAAACGGGAACAGGGGGUCGUAGUUCUUGUCACCAACGUUCAUGGGGAGCUGGUCCACCGACUUGAACCAAGUGCGAGGCAGCUUCCCGGUGAAGCCGAAGUCCCCGAAGAGCACGUCAGCGACCCCUUGGCCUUCGGAUCCCGGCAGCCACGCAGCCACAAGCGCGUCCAUCAAGGGCACAUACGACUCGACGACCACGGGCCUGCCGGAGAUGAUAACCACCACGCACUUCACCGCGCCGCACACAGAUUGGAUUGUGCUCGGCCCAGGCUCAGGAAUGGUGAGGUUGAGGCUGUCUCCAGCAGUCUCAGAAUAGGGCGGCUCCCCGACGACGACAAUGGCAUAGGAGAAGUUGUUGCUCUUAACGAAGCCGGCAUCAGGGUUCUCAGAGAACGCUACAUUGGUUGAUGGAUCUACUGUGGACUUGAUGGCCUCCAGGAUUGUGGUACCUGUAAAAGAAGGAAUAUAGCUUUCAUUUAGCGUUCAGAUCAAGGUGUAUUAUUGUCUGUCAUCCUUUGCAUGAAAUGGGAGGAGCAAGCAGAGCUGAGACAUACCACCAGUGAUUCUUCCACUACUUCCUUGCCACUCUAUGGUCCAACCACCACACUGGUAGCCAAGGUUGUCUGCAUGGCUUCCAGCAACAAGAAUCUUCCCGGCCUUCUUUGGCAGUGGCAGCAAUGGCUUCUUACUAGACUUUCCAUUCUUCAGCAGCACAAGUGAUUUCCUUACAGCUUCCCUUGCCAACUCCCUGUGCUCCUGGAUGCAGCCAAGGAUUGUCAGGAGAUGGAAAUCUAAAUUCGAGUAUGUUGAUUGCAAGCAAAGAGACGGAGAACCAACUGACCUUCUUUCCAAGCUGAUCAACCAAGUUGUAGUCAGCCAGAGGAUUGUCGAAAAGACCCAUGACAAACUUCACCCGCAAGAUCCUUCUUACAGCAUCAUCAAUUCGGCUCAUGGGGAUCACUUUGGCAUUAACCAGAGUUGUCAGAGUAUUGAAGAACCCAGGAUAGUCAUCUGGAACCAUCACCUGCAAAAGCAUAUCAGCAUCAAGGAUAUGCAAGGCUAAUAUAUAAAUUUCUCAGGAAUCAAGUUGCAAUAGUUGGUGUCAAGAUUGAUGAGAAAUUAAACAUAGAACACCAUGGUAAAGAGCCUAAAACUAAUAUAUAUCUUCUGUGACUCGAAUGGGCAGGCACCAUCAAAACAAUAGAGAAACUUCCUAUGUCUAGUAGCUUUCUCUGAUAUAUAUUCUCAUUCAUUUGAUUGAACUUAAUUCAGAAAUGCAUCAUCAAAACAAUAGAGAAACUUCCUCUGUCUAGUAGCUUUCUCUGCUAUAUAUUGUCAUGCAUUUGAUUGAACUUAAUUCAGAAAUGCUGCUAUAUUAUGCGGUCUUUGACAAACUAUUACUUAAUGAUAUAAGAUUGAUCAAUGACACUCAUUCUUCGACAUAAAUGCUCACCAUGUCGAUACCAGCGUUUACUGACACUUGAACGGAGUAAGUGUAAUUUGCAUCAGGUGGAGUGGUGAUCCGAUCUAUGCCCUGCCAGUCUGAGAUCACGAAUCCCUGAUGAUGGUUUGAGCGUAUUGAGUUGUGACAUAUUCCGAAGUAGCCAAUAAGAAGUACAUGGACUAAUUUCAAAAUGUACCUUGAAACCAAGCUUCUUCUUGAGGAAGUCAGUGAUUAGGUAACGGUUGGCAUGCAUUUUAAUUCCAUUCCAACUUGAAUAAGAUGCCAUGAUUGUGGACACACCCUUUGCGACGGAGUCAUAAUAAGCAGGCAUAUGGAUGCUGAGGAGUCCAUGGAAGUCGAUAAUAGUAUUAUUCUCAUUGAUUCCUUUUUGUGUCCCACCAUCACCAACAAAGUGCUUGGCGCAAGCUGCAACAUGCUUCCUGAGAAGCACAUGAGGUUACUUGUGGUUUGAUUGAGUAGCAUUAUCAUAAUUUAGCAGUAAAAAUGUUAGAAUAGCCAACUGCAUUUUUUUGGCACAAGGAAACAAAGAACUAUCAAUACUCACGAAGAAGAAAAUUGAAAUUAUACUACUUACUGGCUGCAUUUAGCAAACAGAGACUCUGUGAUAUCAAAGGGAUUAUUUAUGGAUGGUUUACAUUUAGUUAUAAUACCUUGAACAUCUUAAGAUUCUCUAUUAGGAACUGAUUACACAACUUGUAUUUUUUUUGUGAUGAACUACAGAGUCUAUGCUACAAGUUUUUUUUGUUAAGCAGACUUGUUUUUUCGUUUAGCAACAACUACAGGCAGAUAACACAUUGUUUUUUAAGUAAAUUAUGAAUCCUUACUUUCCGGAAACAUAAGGGAAGUUCUUUGUGUAGUUUGCGGGGAUAUCUCCCUGUAAACCAAGAAUAAUUUGGGUCAUUGCCUGCACAACUCUGUGAUCCUCACUGUAACUCUCAUAGCACCUGCCCCACCUUGGAUCUCUACAAACCUGAAUUAGGAAGGAGGAAUAUCAAAUCAACAGAAAAUAACACAUGCAGUUCCAACUCAAAUUUUGAAUUUCAGAACACCAAAAAUGCAAAUACAAUUAACUGAGCUUACCGCGAUACAUGGCGCAAAAGUGUAAGGAAUGCCUGUUGCUCUGACUUCAAGAGCAGUUGCCACGCCAAUCCUCUUUACAAGAUCAGGAUCCCUACACAACGAUUAAGGUCCAAGAAUCAGAGAUCAGGAUGACCAAAUUCUGUUGGAUUUCACUUGCAAGAGUCUCAUAAUUAGGCAAUAUCAAACAAUUCUUAAUGAGUGUCAUUAGGCUGUAAGUCCAGAUAGGAUGAGAUGAACAAUAGUGAUUUCACUGAGCCUUCAUUGCUCAUGAACAUGCCAACAGUAUCAACAAAACAAAAAAAAGACACCAAAAGAGAGAAUGAGUAAAAUAGGAAAAGCUAGAAUGAUAUUUUCUCAAUUGAAUGCAUGCAGUGCCAUAGAGCAGAGAAGUAAAUCUCAGAUCACCAUAUGAAAAGCAAACCAGGAGUACUUUCCAAACCUUUCACUAAUAAAUUAUGAAGUUAAUACUUGAAUGGCCAACCUGUGUUUCAACUAACAAAUGCUGUAGGAUAGGUUAACACAAGAGACAAGAUAAUUUUCCUAGCAACAGCAACAAAAUCUUCUUGACACACAGUACAAGGAAUAGAAAAUAUAGACAGAUGUGAUUAUCUCGAAUCAAUUUUCAUCAAGUGGUAGUUUGGCAAACCGAGAGCUAAUUUAAGGAAGAAUGUUGGUACUUCAUGCGCUAAGUUCAGAGAAUUAAGUUUCUAGCUUUAACAAAAUGUCAAUAUUUGGAAGAAACCUAAAAUCACAUUAUGCAACAAAUGGAAGUAAACAUGAAACUUGCCUUGUGGCUCCAAGACCAACAUUAUGAGGGAAUAUGGUUGCAUUAUAGACAUUAUUGUGGCCAUGAACAGCAUCAAUCCCAUAAAUCAUGGGAAUUCCCAAUCGUGUCGACAGGCAGGCUUUCUGGUAUUCAUUUAUCAUAUUAACCCAGUCCUUAGCAGAUGCCUGAGGAGCAGGAACACUUCCCCCACCACUAAGAAUGCUACCUGUAAGAUGUAUGUGAUUCAUUAUGUGUGUAGCCAGCUUCUCUUCUUAUCUUCCCAUGACAUUACAAAGACAAGAUGAAUGCAUUAGUCAUUGACACUCACCAAUUAAGUAGUCCUUCAAGACUUGAGGUGAGGCAUCUUUUCGCUCGAUCUGUGUCAUCUGACCAAUUUUUUCAGCAAGAGUCAUGCGCUUCAUCAGAUCUUUGACUCGAACAUUCACUGGCUGGUUGGGGUCUUUGUAUUUCAUGUACUCUGCUUGUAUGGUUGCCGCCCAGCACAUCAGGAACAGAAUUCCAAGCAUUUGUGUCCGCCAAGUUCCCAUCUUCAGAUGCAGCAAUAACUUUUUCAGAUCCUUUCAACAAAUCUGAUACUAUAAAUUCAUGAAGUGAGCAUAUAGACAAAGCAAAGGAUGCAAGAAGAUGCAAAGGGCCGAGCCCUUAAUUAUCAGAAAGCUCUCACUCAGCAAAUCAGAAACUGAGAAUAGCAAAAGACAAACCACAUAUGGACGUAUACAGAUGAUGAUAUCAAUCUCGUCAAGAAAUUAGAUAGAAAAUGUUGUGGGACAAUGAGAACAAAGAUAACAGCCAUAUCAAGCAGGUCAAAUGAUGAAUGCUUCAAUGGAAAGGUCAAAGAACAGGUGAAUUCACACUUUGUACAAGAGAAAAGAUCGGGUACCAAGCACUCACAGAUGAUAGGAUAGGUAGGUAAGACCCAAGUUACAACAAGAAACACCACCAGGAUAGCAAGAAGUAAAGACAAAGGAUUGUGAACUAUCCAAAAAUUGUAUGCCUUUCCAAAACUUUCUCUGUCGGUUUACAAGUCACAAAUUCUAAAUUCUUUCUUCGAAAUGGCACAUUGGCCAACAGCCCCCAUAUAGAUUCACAAAAACUACAUUCCGAUAGUCGUUUAUUCAAGUGCUUUGAGACUGAAUGCAGUGCAGCAGUUAGCUAUAAGUUGAAGAAAAGGAUCUGUUGCGGGAAAGCAGAGUAGUUCAAAGAGACGAGUCGAAAUGUGUCUCGGAUCAAGUUUCACUAGUAUUCGGAUGGCAGAGUCUUUUUGCGUGUUUAUGGAUGUAUGAUCCACGAUUUUGUUCUUAGUAGCAUUCGCGAUUAGAAGAAAUGAUCGCCAAACAUAAAAAAGCAAUCGUUCCUAUGAAGCGGACGAUUUUAACAACUAGGGAGCAAUCCGAGGUACAAAAAAACCUAAAAACACGAACUUUCACAUCAAGAAGACAACAAUAAAACAAGAGAUCGAAGAUUGAACUCGAUAUACGAAAUCAUUACUGAUUAAAGCCAGAAGGAGGAGGAGGAGGAGGAGGAGGAGGAGGAGAAACCUCAAACAAGAAAUGAUAAAAAAGGGAAACUCCUCCAGAAGCCGGGCUUUUCGUUCAAAUACACUCCUUUCCGAGUACCACCAAGCUAGUAGCCAUCAAAAUAGGCCGAUGCUUCAUUUAUAGACGCGCCGGAGACAGAUGAAGACUGCGAAAAGUGGAAGUAUAACGUUAAACGGAUAAAUAAUCGUUUGAUUUUAGUGCUCAAGGUCGGGAGUUGGUGACGCGAUUUGGGUGGUGGGUGGGGAUGAUGGUGGCGGGUGGAGACUACGGGAAGGGUUUGAAACAAUUCUUAUACCGAUAUUACCCCUGCCAUUCUUUAGUUUGGUCGCGAGUCCGUCGUUCCCAGCCGUUAGAUCGACAUCAGCUUUGUGGGGUAACGUUGGUCAGCGUGGGGCCCCGAUCGCACGGAAUAGGAAGACAAUUGGGGGUCGGCAAAAACAUAGCCGUUGGGGGUUGGAUGGAUCUCUGCACGUUGCCCAUGUCUGCAGAGGUGGUUUCUUCCACGUCAGUAACGUGCGUGAAGUCUGCUGUGAACAGUCGUACUCUUGCUGCUUAGGCUAACUCCAGCUCACAGCUCACGUUGACCCACAUCAUCGUCGUGUCUUCCAUCACGCCGUCAAUGGAAUUUGAAUUGCUUCCACUUUUCAGUUGAUACGAAUAUUUAAUCGGUUUCGCGUAUAGGGAAAGGACAAAGAUUAAUUGCAAUGAAAAAUUAAGUGGGCAAGACGUGAUGUGAUGGCUCUUUAAUCUUUUAUCAUGCGAGAUUUGUGCUAGUUAUUAUGGGAAGAGACUCAAUAAAAUUAGCAAAAAUCGUAAUUUAAAUUUGUUUGCAUAUUUGAGAGGGAUUUAUUAUGUGAUUUACAGGGCAACCACAGCACCUUUUAAUACCGCAGUAACUUUGCUACCGUCAGUUGAGGAGAAUGGUUGGUCAUUAGUCUCACAAUAUUAAUGCUUUUCUUCAAAGAAAUAGGACGAGUUUAUAUGGGGAUAUAUAGAACAUAUUUAAAGCCACCCAACUUUAUUAUCAUCAUUUUUUUAUUAGUAAAAAAUGUUUUGAUUUUAGUUGGUCAUACCAUCUGUGUUAUAAAUAAAAACCAAAUAAAUAUUCUUUAUUAAUAUAAGUAUUUUCAAUGUGUAAUACAUUCUUCGUGGAUAAAAACAUAUGAAACAUCUAAUGUGUCUUUUACUAAUAAAGCAUUAUAACAUCUAACGUAUCCUUUAUGGAUAUAAGUAUCUCCAAUGCAUGAUGCCUUUGAAGCCCCUGGUAUAUUUUUGAAGAAUCCAUAAGGGUUCCUUCGAGUAUAUUGACCAUUUAAGGAGGGCAUCUUAGCGACAUUGUAUCAAAUCGAUCGAGACCCAACCUCCUCUAGAAGUAGGCUUCUCAGUAAUAUUAUGCUAGAUCACAAUUCUACUACCGAAGUGGCCAUCACAAUUGCUCGAUGUGGCCACUUCGGUAGUCCCGUAACAGGUCAGUCGAAACUUUCCUCUACCACCCGAUGUGAGCACCCUUUAUCACCUGAUGUGGGCAUCAUUACUUGUCUAAUGGCAGCACAAUAGUAAAUAGCAUUAUAGAUGACUAAUUAAAGGGGCGACAAUGGGUUCCUCUAAUCAAUGGGAUAGAACUGCUUUACAUAGAAUAUUUUAUUCUAGCCUAGUCGAGAAGGUAGCUGCUAUUUAUGUAUCCCUUAGCUCUAGUGAUAACAUCUGGUGUUCGUCUACUCAUCCAAAGGGGAUCAUGAUGGCUUGGAGUGCCUACAGUGUUCUCGAUAAUAUGCACCAAUCACCAGUUAACGUUAGGGCUGGCUAAAAGGCGAUUUGGAAGAUUGUCGUGGUUCCAAAUAUCAAAAUAUUUUUGUGAAAAUUAGCGUGGGGCAGUCUUCCUACAUCCGAAUGGUUUUCUAAAUUCUCUAGCAAUCCCUUGCUUGCUUGUCCUGUUUGUUUGGGGUUUAUUGAUUUAGUUGUGCAUUUCCUUUUUGAAUUCGCCUUUGCCUUAGAUUACCAGUUAUUUGUCUAGCAAAAACUGCAGCAUAGUUUCAAGUUCUUUGUUGAGUGAAUGAAUGGUAGAUGGUUAGAAGAGAGUGACGGGCUUAAGAAGGAACAGAGUGACAGCAUGCACGCUGUCAUUACCAAUUUCCUUUGCACUCUUUGGAACCACCAUAAUGACCGUCAUUUCUGCAAUUGUAGGGCCUAUGUUACAACACUUUGGUGCAAGCUGUGUGCUUUAGUCAACGAGGUGAAUGAUGUGCACCUGCCUGAGGGGGAUGGGGAACACUGGAUGAACAAGGAAUUGAUAUGCUACCCUACUAACUUUGAGUUUUCUAUUGAAACUAAUGCAUCCUUUGUGAGUUGUAAUGUUUGUGCAGGAUUAGGAUUCAUUCUCGAAGACCGACAAGGGAAUUAAUUUGGUGGUUGGAGGUUAUUCUUCGAGAGCUAGAAGAGCAGUUUCACUUACGGAGAGCGAAGCAAUUUUUGGAUGAUUAUAUUUUGCAACAGAAAAUGGCUGAGGAAAUAUAUGAAUUCUCUUAACAAUUUUGAGGCUAUGCUUUGAUUUUUGAAAAACACUUCGCUUGACUGUUUGUUGUUUUUUUUUUUAUCAAUGGUUAAUUGUGAUUUUUAACCCAAAAAAUAUAAUUUAUUUUUUACCCAAUGGUUAAUUUAUUUUUUUAUCCAUUUUACAUCCACCUGAUUAAGCUUUAAUAUAGUCUGUUAUUUUAAAAAUAAUAAUAAAGAUAUGGAAUGUUGGAUUCUGCCUGCCUUUAUCUAUCUAUUAAGAUAAGACGACAGAUCAGAGGUAAGCAGUGACGUAGGCAUUGUUUCAUAGACAUGGGGAACUAAAAGAUUGUGAUCGUUCCGUACAAGACAUCCUGUCAAAUGUAUCCCAAAAUUUAGUUUACAGUGAUUCUGAAAGCUCACUUCUUUAAAUAAAUGUCUCCAAAAAAUAAACUGCCAAUGUAGCAGCCAAGGAACUAGAAUGCAUUUUACACCUGGACAUGCUCAUGUCCUCUUUAAUAUUACCUAUUGCCUCCUGUAUAUAUAACUGUCACAACAACAUAAGAAUUGAUUAAACUCCUUUGCCCCCGUAAAAAAGAUCGAAUGGUACCCAAAAAAAGAUAUAAUAUAUAAACAGACUAUAAUUUCCUGAAUUAGCCUACAGAUUACAUUGAUGCAUUCUGAAAAGUUUAUCUGCCUUGAUCAAGAUGAUCUAUUGUUACCAAUCUCGUCAUCCAUGUGUCAUGCCGCACCGUUUGGCUCUUGGUCUUAUUAUCACUUACUCAGAAUUGCCCCAGUAAGCAAAAGAAUGAUGAGAGCCUCCCCAGGUGAAAAAGAAUCUGGCACAAUUAGAGGCAUGCCUCUAGUAAUAAUACUAGCAGCAUCUGCGGUCUGCUGGAUUCUCCAGGUGUCACCAUCAGCCCGAACGACGCCUUGACCUUCGCCUUGGUCUGUUAAGAAGCUUCAGCAUAUUCUCAGUGAUAUCAAGUGGGGAGUCAUCAUCUUCAACCUGGUGGCUCUUGUCCGAAGUGUGGGUCAACCAUUCCAAAGCUUCUAUAGCAGCAUCCCUCUCAGCAAGCUGCUUGUUCUUCUUUGGUUUUCCCACAAAUUGCAUCCCUUUGAAUUCCACUAUUGCCCGGAAUUCAUUCGUCUUCAGAUGCUUCGUCUUGUACUUUGGUGGGCUGUGGCCUGCCCUCAUCAACAAGGUUUGCAGCAAGCUUUUUGGGUUGGUUCCAUCUUUCACAAUAUUGUUCUUGUUGCCCUCGUUGCCGCUAAAUCUGGUCCUUCUUGUUUCCCGUCCAAAUACAAACCUUCCUUCACACAGGUCACCUGAGACAAGCUCCUGCACGGCAAGCAUUAGGUACCUGCCUUCUUUGUGGAUAUCUGUUCUCGGAUCUAGAAGCUGCAUUCACAUCAGGGUAUAUUAAUGUAGUGAAAGUUAUAUACAAGUAAAUUCAACAAUGGAUCCAACCAUAAGGUAAUUAGUCAAUAAAUACAACCAACUGAAUUUUAAAAAUAUAAUAAGAACAAGACAAAGCCGUAGUGUCCUAUUUGUGGUCAGCUUAACUGAGAUUGACGCAUAAAAUAUUUAAAUUAGUGACGUGAUAUGGGAUGUUACUUAGUUUGCUAUUUCUAAACUUUCUUUUAGUUCCUUUUAUCUGAUAUGACAAGUCCUAUUAUAUAACAUCACCUUUUGGAUGCUCUUGGAAGAUUCAUUUGCUUGUAGCUUAAUGGAAGGAACGUAAAACAUGCACUUACAACAUUGAAAAAAAUCACAAUAACAUAAUUCAUUUAACUUAUUGCUGAAUAACAUAUUUUAAUAUUAGAUUCAUGUUUACCUUUCUUUGUACAAGGUUAUCAAGUUCCGCCUUGAGGUUCCAGUAGCAUUCUGUUAAACUUGGAUCCAUGAAGAAAUCAAUGUAGCCAUCUAACAUCUUUAAGUGCCCAGCCUAGCCACAAAUAUCAAGUCAGCUAUAGCACAGUCAUUAAAUCACUGAAAGGUAUAUAAUCCAGAGAGAAGACUACCAUUUCUCCCCUGAUGAGGGUUCCACCAAACAAGAUCAGUACUGAAUCAGAUACACCUGUAGAAUCACGAAUAAAAACAGUAUUCACUUUGACCUUCUCACUAAAGACCAACCAUGGAUAAGGGAUUGUCUGGUACUUCGCAUUUACAGAAUUCUGAUGCAAUAAAAACCAGCUUCAGUCAGAAUGAAUGACUCCAACCAAAUGCCGAAAGUGAAUAGAACUAGCUUUUGUAAACAAAAGGUCAACACAACUUCAACAACUAGAUAAAUUCUGUAUGCAUCUAAAGCAGACAUAGUCAAUUACUAGAAACAGUGUUCAUAUAUUACAUCAAAGUCAGUUAAAUCACACAAGCAGGUGCCUAGACACAUUUUGUAUGCACUGCAGUAACGAUUGGACACCCAGCAGGGUGGUCAUGGCUAGUUAAUGGCAGUAUAUAGAGCGUGGUAUGCUAAAUAUGGCAAAUCAUGGUCCCAUGUUGUCACGAACGGUCGUCGCGCACCCGCAACAACUCCGUUCAACAAACUGUUCGUCGCUCUCAUCUACAUGUACAGUUACUUGGCAGCCUGUUUUGCCUUGGUUUUGAGUCAUUUUGCUUGUAAAAAUGUAAACUCGAACAAGCUGCAGCGUUAUAAAGCGACCGCUCACCGAACCGAGCAAAACAGCCCCAAAACAGCCCAAAACAACUCCGUUUUCGUGUGCCGCGGGCUGAUUUCUGGAAUCUGCCUCCGCUCACCCAAACGUCAACCAUCUCAGCCCCUUGGAACCCCCCGGGUGGCACAGGGCUGGAUGGGGCUUCGGUAUAGUACCGGGCGUUGAGCACUCAUUCGCAAGUUCGCACGUUGCCUUGACGGGAACUUGUUGUCGUGCCCGGGACUCGAUGAGCAGCUGUUUGUGGGCUUGCAGCUGUUCGUUCAACCUUCUAAAGCCCUUGUUUUCCCCCUCUCCCUCUUUUCUCUUGUGCACGCAAGGUGCUCGCUGAAUUGCUUGUAAAGCCUCCCCUCUUUUCGCGAGACGUCGGGACUUGUCCGUCGCUCGUUCUUUCGAACUAAUCAGCUUUCUCUUUUACAGGUCCUUCGGGACCUGCGAGAGGUUACAAGUGGGCUGAUCUUUGCGGAGCAAUAUCGCAAGGGUGAAGCGCGACUUAGGCAACGCAAGCUAAGUUCGCGUCUUGGCCGCAAGGGUGCUUCACGCCUUAGGCAAUUCCAGCUAAGGCCGUGACAAUGUGGCAUACACCUAGUACAAAUUUUCCAGUCUGACACAAAUGUUAACCAAUUAACACAGGUAACAAACAUGAAAUCCUGGUGAAGUGUACAUACAUUGAAAAUUGAAUAUAUAGAGUCAAAUACUAGUAGAUGAACGUCACUGUUGCCCUAUAUUUUCAUGAUGUAAACAAGUUAGUUCAAAAGUUCAUCAUCAUCAAAUCUGUCCAAUCAAGAGUUUCUUAUCAUCAUAUCUGUCCAUUCAAGAGUUUGUGCAACAUCUUAUAAUAUCUUGUAAUGUCCAGAUUUCAAAUCGAUUUCCAUGGUUCACAGCUUUCAUCCUAAAAAUUAUAUAUGCAUGCAUCAUACAGCAACCUGCAGUAAUGUUAAUUUCUAUAGUUCCAAUGAAUCUCUUGCCUUCUAGUGUCUAAAAAGUAAAAUUGGAUGCAGUAUCUAUAUACUCAAAAGGACGGACAAAAUGUAGCAAUCAUUGCCAUAUUUUUCCCCUAUAAUAUGAUAAAUGAAAUGACUAUUAAAGACACAAAAAAAAAAAUCAAUUUACAAGUCUGCACUUACAGCAUAAAGUAGGACCUGGCCAUCAUCCAUCGUUUUGAAAGACAGAGACUUCUCUCUGUGCUACACAAGCAUAACACAAAUGAAAAAUGAAGUGCAUACAUAAGAAGGAAAAAUUGUACAAGCAAUUACAGAAAGAAAUAUGAUCAGCCCUUUACCACAACUGAUGCUAUCCCAGGAAAGAGUCCGGAGCAUAUGAUAGCACGGACCAGUGGCUGAUUAUGGCUUAAGCUGUUAUUGAUGCUGGAGUCAGCAUCUAAAAGACCAGAAUCUUUUAGAAUAAAACUAAAUUGCUUCCUAAGUGAAUGGAUAGCCUGAAGUGUUUGGGCUGAAAGGAAGUUCCUCCAGCAGUACUCAUAUGCAGAACCUUCUCUCUCUGCAUCUUUCCAUCCCUCAUAUGCACGGACAAGAGCCAUAUGAUCACUGUAGUCCUUAGCUGAGAAUCUUGAUUUUGCAGUUCCUGCCAACUGAACAGGAGAUACAAACUGAACGUUAAUCAUAUAUUUCAUUCUAACAGUACAUUGAUUCAAGAUGCAUCUCUCUAAUUACAAUAAGCUGUAGAGUACAAAUAUAGUGAUAAAAUGUCGCACAGAUGUCAAUAGUUAGAUGACUAAAUGAGGAUAAAAAAAUUAAAAGCAACAAACCAAUCCAAAUGUUUCAGGAUGACAGAAAAUGUUCAGAAUAUCAGAAGGGUUUUGUGAAAGUGUAGAGGAGGUUAUAUUGGCUACAGUCUCUACAUGACAACAACCAGGAAAUUCCAAAAAGUAAUUACACUUUAUGAAGAACACUAACACAUGUGAAACCCAAUGUAUUACAUAUUCUUCUUUUUGGAUUUUGAUGAAUAAAGAUACGGACUUACAUCCUUCUUGUCCUGCGGUAAGAGAAAAGGGUCUCUGACACUUAAUCCAGACACUACCGUAAGAACUGGAUCAAGGCAACGAAAGACAGCACCCAUGAUAAGCAUCUUUCCUAGCUUUGGAUCAACCGGAAGCACUGAUAGAUAUCGACCUACACAGUGCAAAGUCAAAGUUUAAGAAACAUAAAAUCCAGAAUACUCCAUGAUGCAACAAAAUAUAAAACCCUGCAUAUGGGAGACAAAGUAGAAAUAUAUAUAAGCUGGGGAGGACACCUCAGGUUUCAUAUUAAUUCAACAUCAUACCAAGAUUCGUAAGAUUUUCCUGUUCAUCUAGUGCCCCAAUCAUCUUCAGAAAUUCAACAGCAUUUUGGACCUGCAUAUAUCAAGAAAUUCAACUCCAAGCAGUGUACUGAAAUGCCAGAAACCAGCUAAUAUGGGAAAGAAGGAUUUUUGCUGGUGGCCAAUGAUAGGAUGGACAGCAGGUGAAACCAUGAUUUCUUAAACACCAGUCCAACACUACAUCUGACACAUUGUUGGAUCAGUUCAGCAACACCGACUUAUAUUGCUUUCUUUCAUUAAUAAAAUAGGGAAAACAAAUGCUGAUUAGCAUUGAGCCAUAUGGUCCAGUACCAAUCCUUCCUCAGAUUGGUAAAUAACAGUCAGAAUAUACCAGCACAAUCGAUAUUUGAAACCACAGGCACAACCAGCUCAUGCCUUCACCAUUUGGAGAACAAACAUAUUAACCACAUCAAUAAAACCAUAAUUUACAGAAAAAAACAUGUUUUGAUGCUAUGAAACACAAUCUUGUUGAGAACAAGCUAAAAAGGAAAACUCAGGUUGAUUAGAUAUCUCAAGAAACAAACUACCGUAAAAAAAAUUGUCAUCACUCCGGACAGGAACCAAACAAGCAAAGGACAAGCAAAGAACUUUCUUAGGCACAAAAAAGGACAUUUGAAAGUUUCAUCAGCCGUGCCCAAUUCACUUGAAGCCUUCUCGACAAGAGGACCCACUAAAGACUGUCAACUACCCCUCCCAGACCACUCUGAUAUCCCAUCCAGCCAUGUGUCACCCAGGAGGUUCCAUGGUCCUGAAACUGUUGUUCCACACUGAAAUUCAGCCCUAGAAAUUUCCCUGUCAUAGUAUAGGCUGUGAGGUUAGUUGGCCAAUUUCAGCAAUGCAGGAAUGUCGACCAACGGAAUGACUCACAAAGUGUUUGUACAACUACUGGGCGGUACAUGAAAAGAUGCAAAGACAUAGUGGACUUAGUGGUUGUUAUCGGCAUGUUGCAGCCGCCAGUGGCAGAGUACCAUCAUGGACCAGCACAGGACUGGUACCCAGAAUUGAAUUCCUUGGGUUUAAACAUUUACUUCUAAAGCUCAUGUCAUUCUGAUUUUGUUACAUUAAUCCAAUUAUACAUAACUUCUUAAUUUCCUAUAACUAAGUAACAAGGGAUCAUAUACCGAAUACCUCUUCCUCAAAAAAUAUCUUUUCCAUAUUAUACAAGAUUAUGCAUGAAUGUUCUGAAGAAGAGAAAAUUGUUUAGGAACUAGUGAUCCUAUAAGUGAGCUUUUGCAUCACUUACGGUGAGUGGUUCUGGUGGCUGCAAGGCAGCAGAUAAGAACUCCCCAAUGCUACCAACCUGCAAACUUUUUAUUUGCAAACAUAAGGAGUUCAAUGGAGUUCUUAAAAGCUCAGGAAGCUGAUAUUCUGCGAAGGCAUCAUAUACACAUCUAGGAUAGAGAUGGUAGCACUCCCCAGGCUGCACACGACCAGCUCUACCCCGCCUCUGCAAUCUCAUCAUAGAGAAAAUAAAAGAAUUAGCAAACAAGAUGGAGAGACAAAGUGACAAACAAUCAACCAAAAGAUUAAAAGUAUAAUGAAUUUAUGCAGUUUUGAACAGAUCAAGGAUGUCUCCUUCGGUAGGAAGUCAAGGAUGGCAUCAUCUGAUAAAAUUCUAAGUUGCCAAAAUAUUUGAGUGAUUUGACCCUCUUACAGAUAUUGUUGUUAAAGAUGUAGCUUUUGAUAACAAUAUCAUUCACAAAACAUGCAGCCACACAUUUUCAUCAGUUGAAUAUAUAACCUCGAUUUGCUCUUAUUUAUCAGGUAUUCUUUAUUACAUAAUUAAACAAUCAAAUGGUUAGAGUCAUAUACUAUAUAAAAGAAAAUGUCAAGAAAUUCAAGUUCUAUCUUCUCCAAGCUACAACUACGAAAUUCAACAUAAGGCAGUAUAUGAAAUUGAUUCAAACAAGAGACUUAAGAUAAAUAUAAGUGAUCAAACUGUUGCUUUUUCCUGACGGAUUUAUGCUGCACAUUGCCCAACAAGCACAGUAGUCAUGGAUAUAACGGGUUAAUGAUCAUAGUUGAUGGAAUUAUCUACACCUAAAAGUGGUUUACCGAGAGGAUCAUGUAAUAGUAGUUCUUUUCUUGGUGCAAGGCAUAGAGAAGAAUGCCCUCUUUUUUGCACCAUAUCUGUCACCAUGGUGUAUUCAGAUGCUUCUGUUUAGUACCAUUAAAAAAUUCCUUCUUGUGUUUAGAUGUAUGGACUAUGGAGUACUUCAUUAACCAUCCAUUGAGACAGCAUCACCACUUAUAGGAUUAAGAAUCAACCUUCGGUUUUGUCAGCUAUUUAAAUUGAUGGAUGGCAGCAUGUAGGUGAAAUGAAAUUGCAUUUACACAUAUUUCUAAAUUUACAGGCCGUCACUUGUGACAGAAAAGGAUAAAAAUUGGGUGACAUAUAAGACUUUAAUUAUAUAGGAUACAUAAUUUUUUUUGUAGGCAAGAAUAGAAGCCUCAUAAAUCAAAUAAGUCCACUGUUAAUGUCAACGUCCUUCAAUUUUAUUCCUUUGACCUGUUUUGCAAUAGAAGGGUCUGGUGUCAAACUCAUGGAUACAAUUAUCACAUGCAGAUUGUUGCAGGUGGAUGUGGCGUCCCACAUAAUGCCAAAUCAACUGUCUUAUGGAUAUCCCACUAAAUAAAAUUAUUCAAAGAUAGAGAAGAAAAUAUAAUUUGCAUAUGAAUAAGCAAUGAAAAUGGCAAUCAUUCUUAUUUCAAAAUUCAAAAGAAAAUCAACAGAUGAAUCACCAACAAAAACAAGAAAGUUUGAGGGAAAUAUCUUACUUGGCGGGCAGAAGCUUUAGAGAUCCAGGAUGGCAGCAAGCAAGGCGUAUUAUUCAGUGCAUCAUAGGUGGUCUCUUUUGCUUUACCACAGUCAACAACAAACACAAUAUCAUUGAUUGUAAUACUUGCUUCAGCCAUGUUUGUUGCAAGGACUAUCUUUCGUAUAUUAGGUGGUGGAUUUUCAAAUAUGAGUUUCUGCAUAUUACCAAUGGACAGUAAGUGACUGCAAAAGAGAAAAGUGCAGCAUCAAAUUGAAUGACUAUGAAUGACAGAGUUUUCUUAUCCGACAUAUAUUUUUAUUAUUGGGAGAACAAUUAGAAUACCAAAAUAUUUCAUCAACAUGAAGUUAUAAGCUUUGCAUUGGACAAUUAAUCUAGUCCCUCAGGCCAAUUGAUGCACAUCAUGAUCUUUCAAGAGGGGCCAAUAACAAGUAAAUCACACUACCCAAUAGGCCUAUGAUUCUUCAACCAGAGAAGCAUACUUUGCAAUAUUACAAUCUAAUAACACAUUCCUUCAUCACCCCUUCUAAUUUUUAUAGAUUUCUUUUUCUCCCGCAGCUUGUUUCACAUCUGAAAGGAUAUUGGGUUGUACUCUCAAGUCUCAAGAAAGAGGGUUAAUAAACUUUGGCUUGAGCAGGUAAAUUUAAAAGGCUUAAAUAAAUGACAUGGUAUGAAAAUCUAAUAAAAACUCAAAUAUGGUUGAAAUAACUGCAACCAGCACAACUUAAGUAGGUACAGAUGUUUUAACAAAUAAAUAUAGCAUUACAAAAACUAAUGCCUAAUGGUUAUUAGCAUUAUGUAUAUACCAUCAUACUUGAUCAAAGAGGGACAUUAGCAUCAUCUAAUCAAUGUUUUUUGCAAUAAUAGCAAUUAUUCUAAUUCUAGGAAGACCUACAGGACUCAACAUCAGCAGUAACAAUGUCCAAUAACAACAAUAAUUCUAUCAAUGUUUUUUGCAAUAACAACAAUUAUUCUAAUUCUAGGUAGACCUACAGGGCCCAACAACAGCAGUAACAAUGUCCAAUAUUAAAGAAGCAUAAUCGGUGAGAUUUGACCCUACAAACUUUUCCAUUAGGAACUUAACCACUAAAUCAAAGCCUUGUUAUUUAAGUUGAAAUUUACUAUCUGUAUAAUUACACAAGUUCCACUAGUAACCCAGACUCAGGAGAGUUUGGAACCAACCUGAGAGGCUCAACAUAAGCUACAUAGCUAAUUAUAUAACUUGGUCAAAAUUUCCGUCAAGUAUUUUUCAACUUUGAGUUGCUCCGUAGAUCCAAUCUUAUAUUAAUGGGACCCAGACCUGGGCGAUGACACCUAUAGUUAACAUUCCACAAUAUGGAACAAGUGUAUAUGAAGUAUGAACAAAGUUCUGAGACAUACCAAUGAAAAUGAUCUUCACUGUUGAUAUUACCAGCAUACAGUGGCAUUCAAGUUCUAGUUUCCUAAAUGACUAGCGCCCAAAACUAUGUGAAAUACCCAAACUAAAUAGCUUUAUAACCAACACAGGAAGAUUAUGGAAUGUGACUUCCAGUAAUGUAUGUUUUUAUAUGUUUCAAUGCAGAUCAUAAAAAUUAUUACCCUUCAAAUCUAUGAGAAUGACCAAUAAUGACGAAAGUAGGAGUUCAGCCAUGACAAAACUAAGAAUUUCUCAUUUACAAUUAGCAAUUGAAGACUACUAAAAAGUAGCAUAAGAUGCAAUUGAAAAAACAAAAUGAUGGAAUCUUCACCAUUGAAAAAUUACCUGCUCAGAAGUAGCCAUAGAACCAUGACAUGUAAGUACCAAAACCCUGUUUGGAUCUCCUAAGAGAGGAUGAGCCCUCAGCUGAUCCCUCAAGCAACUAAUGUCAUCCCAACCAGUCAUAAAUACAAGGACAGCACCUGGUCGUUCCUUACGACAUAUAUGACACAGAAUAGCCUCAAUAAGAUUAAAACCUAUGCAAUCAGGUGUCCAGGAGGCCAAAGAAUCACGUGCUCUGGAACUGUAUCCCUCAAAACUUGAAUUUUGAAGAGCAUCCUGCAUCGGAAAAGCAGCAACAUAUAAAAAAAAAUGUCACUUAUUCAUCAGAUUCUGCCAUGCAUACUAGUACCUCAACAAGUGCAGUAAUCUGAUUUUUUCUUUUACGUGGCAUUAGCUGCCUCUGAGUCUUCCAAAGUUUCUCUUGGCCAUAGUCAUCAAUUUGGUUAAAAGAAGUCAGUUUGUAUCCAGUUUUCUCAAGUAUAUCUUCAAGAAACUGCGCCCUUACAGGAUACGUGAAACCCUGAAGCCAACAGAAGAUUUUCUUUUAUCAUAGCUUCACAAGCACUCAACUUUCAAUCAAGGCUCAGAACAAAUUGUAGACAAUGUUGAUGAAAAUGAUGUUAAUGAAUGGUCUCAAAUUGGAAUCUACAAAAAGCUAAUCUAUGGAAUUUUGAGUCAAGCAUGCUAAGAGCACAGAGAUAAAGGUGGUUAGAUAUAGCUUUUCUGAUACAUACCAUAAAAAAGGUGAGGUUCAGAAGAAAUAUUAUGCAUAACAAUAUAGAAAGUAAAAGAUAUAGGAUCUAUAAUUCCAGCAGAUAGCAUAUAAAUGUCUAGAAUUUAGAUACUAGUUGAACAGUUAAGUAUUAUGCAGAUCACCCUGAAACUCGAAAACAAUCAUAGAUGGGGGUAUAUUUGAUAGUUUUUGACACAUAGCAAACUAUCAAAAAUACCGCUGAGUGUGGUAUCUAUGAUAGUUUCUGAGUUUUAAAGCAAUAUACCAGUUAUAUUCAAUUUAUCAAGGACCAAAUUUAGUAUUUUCAACAUUUGCAGGAUCAUAAACAGAAUUUUCCUUUUAAAAAAAGUGCACUUUUAACCAAUCUAGAUAACAUUUAUUUAGUGAAGAGUGGGUUCCUGAUAAUAGAAUCUGAUCCGUCUUCAACAAAACUCCUGUAAGUUAAGAAGUUAUGUAAAUAUAAAUCACAACUCUUUCUAAGGAAUCACAAGAAUUUUCAAACAGUAAGGAGUUCAUGGUAAAUGAAAAAAAUAAAUAAUAUAGAAAGAUAAAGAGACAGGUAGAUGUUCAAAGAGUACUAAAGUAUGUACUAGACAUUAGCAUACUGGAAUAUGGAUUGUUGGAGCUCCUCCAAAGUAGUUUGAAAACAAUUCAGCAUUCAAAGUUGCACUCAUCAAAAUUAAUCUCAAAUCACGGCGACGUGGAAGAAGGUCCUUUAACACAAUCAACAAGAAAUCUGCACAUCACAGAGGCACAUAUGCAAUCUUUACAAGCAGUAAGCUGGGCUCAAAUAAUUCUUGCAAAAAAGGGAGGCAAAUCUGUUUGUAUUAUAAAUGCCAUGCACCUUCAUUCAUGCCUCGUUCAUGAAUUUCAUCAACAAAAACAUGAGUUACACCAUUCAAAUUUCGGUCUCCAAGCAAUCUUCUUAGCAGAAUUCCACUGGUACAAAAGAGGAGAUGUGUAUUCUUUCCCUUCAUUCCCUCUAAUCGAACUUUGUAACCAACCUACCACAAAAGGGUAAUGUCUAGAACAAAAGAUUGUACAGAAAAUUUCCUAGUAAGCAUAUUUAAACUAGUUGUAUACACCCAACUGGAGAACAUGAAUAUGCAAAAACUUACUGUUUCACCAAGAUUUUCUCCUCUUUCUGCUGAAACUCUUUCAGCAACAGCCAUAGCAGAUAUUCUUCGCGGUUGUGUACAAAUGAUGUUGCAAAAUGCCCCACGCCCAGAUUCUAUCUCAGAUUCUAGAACAUACUGAGGAAGUUGAGUUGUUUUACCACAUCCAGUUUCCCCAGAAAUUACUAUGACCUGAUGAGGACAUAGAUGGUAAGUAGCAAAAGACUACCAAACAAAUCAAGCAGUCACAAACUGAGAAGUAUAAACAUGAAAAUUUAGACAAUGUUUUCAGACAUAAAAGGGUUAAACAAAAUGGUACAACAUAAUUGUCUAGUCAUCUCAGCAGAAACCAGUUAUACAUAAUAUGUAACGCAAGUACUUGAAUCUACUCUUAUUGUUAUGAAAAUCUCCGGAAACAGAAAAGCUUGACAUGCCUUAAAAUAAUGGAAAACUUUGAAAGUCAAGGAAAAUUAAUGGCCGCCAAUCAACUACAGAAAAAAAUUCAAUGUAUAUAAAAAAAUCAUGAAAUAAACAGUAAAUAAAAAUCACCCUCGGGUUGAUCAUAUCCACACUUUGCAGCACAUCCAACUUUAGUUGAAAAAUUGUCUAUCCAUGUCCACUUCAGCCCAUAUGGACAGCAUAAUAAACAAAUGUUUACCAUCUUUCUUCAACUAGUACUACCUCCAAUUUAUCAUAAAUACUUAUUCAUAUCAACAUCCCCAUGUCAGAAAAUUCAAUUUUCUCCACGUGAUGGGGUAAAAUAUAACAAUGUUAAGUUAGUUUCCUUUUCUACCACAAAGCCUAAUUGGUUCGUGCUGAACCGUAAACUGCCACUGUCAAAAGUGUUACCAAAAUGAGUUUGUAAACAAGAAAAAUUAAGGUCUCAUUGCGCAUAAUUGAACUCCAGUAACAGCUCAAAGAAGGACAAAACCAGUACAUGGUUUCCACCAAUGAGGUCAAUGUACAGUCUUAUCCUCAUAAGCAAAGAGAAUAUUCCAGUGAUUCAAAUACUUGGCACCCUGGUUACAAAUGGACUAUCUUUUUUUUCCAUUUAAAUGAAAGUUCCUUGUCCUAGUAAUGCUAAAAUAGACCCUUCAACUUGAAGAUAGUUCUCUUCCAUAAUGCAACUUGUAGCAAUCAAACAGGCAUGAUAUUUAAAUAUGAAAUGCGACAUAUUUUCAUGAAAAACACUUUAAAAGGUAUCUUGGCUUAAAGUAAGACCUGAUUGCGUGCAAUAGCAGAGAGGAGUCCGUCCUUCUCCUUGUAUGCUGGAAGUGAGUUUCUAAAAUUCAGCAUCUUCACACCCUCCGGUGAGUCCUGUUUAACAUAAAGGUCAUACCAUUUUUUCUUAUAUAUAUAAACUAAAUUCUCGGAACAAGAAAGAAAAAAGAUUUAGCUUACUUGCAAACACACUAUCUUAAUUUAGAGAAGAAAAAAAAAAGAUCUAAUGUAGGUUUCUGGUAUCACAACUUCACACCCAAUAUAGACCACCUGGUUUCCCAACAACUUUGUUUAGAAAUUGUUAUUUUUAGGAAUUCUAACCUCUGGGGUUUAAUCCCCAUUUUUGGAAUAAAACAUUUAACAUGAACUGUAAUUCCAAGGCAUCAUUUUAUAACUGUUCGGAAGGAUUUGCCAACCUGACAAAUAAUGGUUCGACUUGUAUUUCCAAAUGUAGGGCCCACAACUUAUAAGAAAAUAAAGUUAAAGCGACCUUCUCUCCUUCCAUGCUAUUUACUUAUUCAUUUCAUGUUAAGACUUUCCUAAGAACAACAGGGUUAACUUCAUAAAUCAAUUCAUUAAAUACUUUUAGAACAUCAUAAUUGGCUUCCUAUAUGAUACUGAUUCCAAAAAAAAUGUACGAGUGACAAAAACCCUUGUUUCAACCAUACGAGAUCACCAUAUUUCAGAUUAUGUCAUAAAUGCAAAGGUAAAACUGUGCCUCUGCUACUAGUGAAGACCAGCACACCACCAAGCAUUAAGAUCAACCUGCCAAGUUCUUUGCAAGUUCCUCAUUCGUAUGCUCUUUCUCUGAAGUAUCUUUUCCAUGACUGAACUGUCAACCAAGGAAUCCUGGUUUUCAUCAACAUCUACAUCUUCCACAUCCUUGCUGGAAGAACUACGUCCCAAUUCAUCAUUGACAAUGUUGGAUGCUAAUAGCACCCUAUCAAGGUGUUCUUGCAGUAAACCUUCAACCCUCCUCUGCAAGCUAAGAGGGAUCAUCACCUGUAACACAAGCACUCACUCCAGAACAGUGAACUUGCUGGUUCAGAAACAACAAAUAAAAUUAUUAACCUUUGACACACUACAUACUUCUCUUUGUGGCCGCUUAUCAUCAAGAUCAGGUCUAUAAUUAGGCAGAGGAACCUUGCUGGCAACCACCACUUUUCCAUAAAGCUCACUGUGCAAAUAAUAAAAUGCAUAUUAAGGAUAACAAUAUGCUGGCAAGCAAUAAUUUUCUUUUAGGACACAACUGAAGGAUGUGCAGCGGUUGUCACCUGUAGAGACCCAUUCGUUUUGCAAGAUUUGAUAUUUGUUCAUAAUCACGUCGGUCUCUUUUGUCCCUGGAAAUAAUCUCUUGCUCUUCAGUGCCGCGUAAGAGCAAACUAAGUUUCCAUCUCCAUUCAUCAAUGUUGGCCUCUGAAGAAGGCUGCAGACAAAUUAUCGUCCUGAUUACUAAAAUAACAGAAAAAGGGCUCGAGAAACAACUAAGCUUUUGAAUUCGAAAGUUCAAAGUUUCCAUUAGUAAUUUAACUAAAUAAGAAGAUCAGUUGACAUCCUGACAGCUUAAAUACAUUUCGUAAACGCCCAGAGUCUAUCAAAAGUCCAGGAAAGUGAGCAACCUCGGAUAUGGUCAUUUUGAUACUCUGAAACAUAAAGUACUCUCUGGAAAGUGAAUCGACCAAUUUUCCACUUCAUAGAACAAUUCCAAGAGCUAUUAAAUCCAAAAUUCAAUAUUUAAUGGACCUUAACUUAACUAAAGCACACACGACUUAGCAAGCAAAAGAACUUGUGGAACAAACCACAAUCCAUACCUUGUGGCUCUCGAAUUCGCACUCAUACUCGUCGUCGGAGAACUGUUCCACGGCGUAGCCGCAGAAGCCGCGCUGCCACCGAUAGCAGCAUCCAGCAUUAACAUCUCCACCAGUCGAGGAGAUCGAACGCCGCGAGAGGAAAGACAAGGCUCCGACCUUUCGACCCAAUGACGUUGCCGCGAACCUCUCGGGUCUAAGAAGCGACGCUAAGCCGAACCCUAAUCCGCGACGCAUCAUGCUAUGGGGUCAUGGUGACCCAACCCUUGCGCUUCCAGGUCGCCGACGCCGGGGAACAGUCGUCGUAGAGAUUGAAAGGUGGGGACUUCCCGCUAGGGUUCUUCUUUAUUUUGACGGGGAAGUGAACAAGAGACGGAAUUUAGCGGUGCGCCGUUGGGUACGGGUUAGCAGUGCGGCGUGAGCCACGGUUCACUCUUUCCAUCGCAGGCAAAACUUCUAUCGCAUGCCAGUGUAACUGGACCGUGGGCCCCGCGGCAGAGAUCAGGAGACAGAAAGCUAAACCCUGUCUCGAUUAAGAUAUUGCGUGGGCAAAUCUGAGUGGACGAGGAAAUAUUAUGGAGUGUAUAAGACUGUUUUGACUGCAGUAAAUGAACAAUCUUAUGCUCCUUUGAUGCUUAUAUGUUACGAUAAGCCUAUUCGAAUAUUUAUUUUGAUUUUUUUUUUUUAACGAAAGAAUGGAGGGCUCAUAAAUGUAUGUGUAUAUUAGUAGUAGGUUUUUUUUUACCAAAUAUAAAUAGUAGGUUAUUCUUAGUAUAAAUAAUAUCAAUAAGAGAGUUUUUUGCUUCCAAAUUUAAAUAUGGUGUGGACAACCUUAUUAGUAAUAAUUAUAUUAUCAUGAAUGUUGUGACCUCUCAUGAAAACAGAUGGACUAUAGUUGAUCAUAGAAUAGGAAUCAGUUUAAGUGAUAGUACCGUAGUAAAAAUCUUAUAGAUAAUAUUAAAAAAAAAAGACUGUGUCUCAAAUCAUAUAUCCUUUUAGGGCUAAUGACUUUAGGAAUAAAUAUUAGAAAAAAAUUAUUCCAGCUAGGAGGAAUAAUGAUAGAAUUAUAAAAAAUUUUAAAUGCAACAAAUAUAUAGGGAUUGAGAAUUUUCUAAAAAUAAUAAAAGAAUUCAAUCAUAAAUCCAUAAUAUAUGAUACUAGCUAACAAAUUCAUGUAAUAUUUCUUUAACAUCAAAGAUCAAACAUUGAGAUUAAAGAAGGAUAAAUUGAAUAUUAUUUUUCUUAAUCCCGUGACUAACCAUUUUAUGAAAAAAAUUAGUAUUAUUAUCAAUCUCAUUCAUCCAUUGAGUUUUAACUCUAGACCAUUAUUUCAAGUAUCUCUAAAGGAUCAUAAGCUUUCUGUUAAGCAUACAAAGGUUGACAUAAUCAUUGUUCGAUAGCAGUGGACUUAAGUUUUCUUUAUUUUUAAAGGUAGCAAUUUCAUCAAUAGUAUUCUUGAUAUUACUUUCAAGAGGUCUUAGCUUACUCUAAGCAGCCAUCUUUCUACUCGUACUGUCAAACAUUGAGUGGAUGUGGACUAUGAGAUUAGAUACAAUAGGAGAAUAAGUUGUAGUCUCAAUAACAAUCUAAGAAAUACCUUCAUAGUCUAAUGCCUCGUAUCUAAAAAUAAGUGGCUUAUGAGUAGCAUUUGGGGUGGGAUUUAUUUUGAGCAUGGUCGAAUAAAACUUUUGGAUGAUGUCGAAUAAAAACAUUUAGAAACAAAGAAAUCCAGUAAUCAUUUAUUAGGGCUCUAUCAAACUUAGCAAAGAUCACCUAAUAUUUUUAUUAGUCUAGAUAAACCGAUUGCCAUAAAACCCUAAGCCAAUCAACCCGAACUUAAACAAAAAAUUAUAAAAGUUAAGCACUGAGUGAUUCAACUGAAAAGGUUUGCCUCUUAAUUUCUCAUACGAAAAAUGAUAUAGUUUAAGUUACCACAAACAAUCUAUGAAAUAAAGUCAAAACUAAUACUAAAUAAUCGAUUCACGAGGGAGUGAUCAAUAUAAGCAUGAUUACUGACAUAAAGAGAAGUAAAAAGCCAAGAGUUUUUAUUAUACUCCUCAAUUAUCAGGUAUAUACUUGUUGAUUCUUAUAUAUUUUUAUAGUCAGCAAGUGAUUCUUUCUCUAAAUAACAAAUAUAGUAGCAUAUGACUUCUUCUCAUAAAUAUUCAGUCUUAAUUAAUAGUACUACUAGGGACAAAUUAUGAGUCUUAAUUAAUAGUCUUAAAUGACUUUGCCCCUCCUUCUAUCGUGCGCUCCUGUAAUUCUAUGUCAAGAACAGUAUAAAAAAGAAUGGUUAUAAAAAAGUAACAUUUAGGAUCGAGUUGGACUUUUAAAUGGAGAAGCACGGAGGUCUUCUUCUUUUUAUUUUUUUAUUUCAGAGUAAUGAAAUAAGAAUUCAGGAUUCCUUAAAUUCCUAUACAGCAGGUCUUCUGAUUUAGUUUCUCUAGCCUAUUCUAGGCCAUCCUCUUUCAAAAGAAAAUAUCUAUCACAUAAGUCUAAGACUGUUUUUGCUGAAUAAAAUGCCUCAAUCACCUACGUCACUAAUUCCUCAAGGUUUAACCCAACUUCCUUAGUAAAGGGAGUGGGGGCCUCAAAUCACCUUUGUUCAUUAUUCCUUAUUUUAUGUUUGGAAGUGAAUGUUACUCUUUCACAACAUAAACCAUAGGGUAGAGAUCCCUAGGUUUAUGCCCUUUGGAUCACUCGAAAAUGUGCCAAAGCUAUACAAUUAUACAUUGUUUUUAAGGGUAGAAAAUACCUUACUGAAAGGAGAUAGAGAUGUGCUAAGAGCUAUCUUCGCAUGCUAUACAGAGGCAUCGUCUACCAUACCUCCCAUAUGUCUCAAAUAAGAAGUAACCUACUUACCAUUAAAGCCUUCAUUUACCUUUAGUUUCAUAGUGGCCCACUUAAGAUGAGUAGGUUUGUUGUCUUUGUUAGCCAAAGGAUCAGCUCCUACUUUGAGUGAACUCAUUAACAUGAUCAGCCGAACCAGAGAUAAAGCCAUUAUUAGAGAUCGACCCAUGAUCGUUAGACUCCCUAUUGGGCUUGGACAACGACCUAAGGUGCCCUUCAAGGUUGACCUACUCCAAUCUGACCCGGUUACUCCUUCGAACCUUGAUCCAAGGCUUGUAUAAGGUAUCAUCUUUUUCUCUAGGUAUCGGUUUAGAAAUCUUAUGUGUAUUAUCACUAUGCAAUUUGGGAAAAACAAUAGACUUAUGUGAAACAUAAUACUCUAAACGGUGACCCACUAUAUCAUAAUUAAAACAAAGAUUAGGGAUAAUCUGAUAAGCAAUAGUUUGAAAAAUCUUAUUGGAUCCAUCUCUUAUCCAAAAAUCUUACAACAAUGGCUUAGAAAAAUCCAUUAAGAUAUAAUAAAUUUUUCAUAAAAAAUUAGUUAUCAUGAUAUCAUUUAUCGUUAGCGACUUUCCAAUCACUAAGGCUAUUUAUAGAAAUAAAAUAAAAUUAAAGAAUUUAAUAAAUAAUUUAAAAAAUUAAACCCAAGUGUUGAAACUCUUGUCUCUAAGGAAAUAAAGAUAAUGCUUGGCCUUUGAGAAACCAAGGUCCUCCUGUGAGAACCUUCUCACAGGGUGAAAUCCUUAUCAUUCAUAAAAGGGAAAGCAAAAAAAAUUAGAGGCAAAGGUCUAUAGUAUGAUGGGGAGAAAAAAAUACCUCAUUUCUUGAUAAAUUCUAAAAAAAAUCAAGAAAGGAUGUUCUUCCGAUUAAUAGAUCAAGUUUUGCAAAUAUUAUCUAUCUUUUUUUUUUUCGUUCAAAAUCAGUUCUAGAUUUCAUGAUGUUUAUAUACGAUUCGAUUUUUCUUCUAAUUUUACUGAAAACUUUCAUGCAUCGACAUCACGAACAUGACUGAAGAAGCCCCACUCAGGACGUGGAUACUAUAUAUUUUUUUGCAAGAGAUUGAGAAUUAAAAAAAUAAAAUAAAUCAUUCAUAUUUUGGGCGGUUGUGGAAGAGGAUCCGUAACCAUUCAUAUUUUCAAUAUAUAUAUAUAUAUAUAUAUAUAUAUAUAAUAAUAAUAAUAAUAAUAAUAUAUAUAUAUAUAUAUAUAAUAAUAAUAAUAAUAAUAAUAAUAAUAAAUUACCUGAGAUGAAACUCCAGUGUCAGGGCGAGAGGGGCCACGGGACGGGGAAGGAAAACCAGGCGGAUUUCGUGUCGCCGCUGGACAAAACGAGAGCCGCGUUCACGCCUUCACCGCCCUGUUCUAUCUAUCUUUCAAUAUUUUAACCAAGUAAACGACUGCAUAUUAUUUUGUCAACCUUGUAACACGUUAAGAGCUGAGUACUAAAGUUGAUGGCUGUACACAACAAAGCUGUGCAAAUAGCAUGACAAACCCACAGAAAAGUGGGUUUGGUGAAAUGGAUACCUUGUUCUCAUUAUCCUUGUUUUGGGUGACUAUUCUUCAAAUUUUCAUUCCUCUUUCCUUCUUUGCAGUUGAUCAAGUGUUCGACAGAUUUUGUUGUCCUCCUUUGUCUCAGCUCAGCGACCAGAGUUCGUCAAUAGCACAUCUGUGGCAUCUAACAAGUCAAGAUGGAAGGACAUCUACCAUCUACUCUCUCUUUUCUGGUGAAGCAUCCCUGUCACUUGGAUCAGGUAGAGAAAAUGGCGGACUUUAAGGGAAAAGGUUGCAAAGUGUUUGACAUAAAAUAACGUAUCCUUUUCUCCUUUGUUGAUUCAUACGUCAGAAAAAUCUGUGGGUGGACAUGUCCCUACUUCACAUCACUUGGAUCAUUACAACUACUUCGAUCCACCAGCCGUGGUUGUGCCACUCACUGUGAUGUCAACCGGAACCUGAUCUUUCCCUUUCCCCGUCUUCUUUCUUCUCAUCAAAGGCGUUUGUCUACUUCUGCCAAUUCCCAACGUAGCCAUGAAGAGAACUUGGGUUGCAUUCAGAAGAAAGAAGAUGGCACUGCGAUUAUCAAGUAGAUAAAAGCUUGGUGUUCAUUCGGGAAGCAAAUCAAUCCAAUCAUUAAAAAGAUAGUUUUUUUUCUGGAUAUUUGUUCUACCAAUUCUUGCGUUUUUAUUCGUUAUUCCAUGCUUAUCGAUAUUGUGAAUAUUGUGAUCCACAAUAAAAAAAAAUUGUAAACGAUCACUUGAUCGAUUCAUUUAUAAAGGAAAACGUACAUUGAAAAAGAAAUAAUAAUUUAAAAAAGAAGGAAAUAAUCAUUGGAUUAAUGUGGUCUACAUUUAUUAAUAAUAUAUUUAUAAUUAUUCUUUUUAUUAUCUUUAAAUGCAAUUUAGUUCUUUAUCACUUGUAUAUAAAUCCAAGUUUAUACACAAUAAACACAACUCACUUAUAUUCUAUCAUGUUCUGCUAGUUUUCUUACAUGAUGUGUGUCGAUCAACUCUUCCAAUAUAACAAUCGAAAUAUUUAUCUUAUAUUCUAUACUCAAAUAAACCUAAUUUUCUAAUUUAUAAUAAUUAGAUGUGCUAAAAUAAACAAUAAAAAAGGAAAAAAAUAAAUAAAGAUGUGAAACAUUAUAAUUUGAGAAUGGAGAAAUAACGAAGGACAUUUUGGUCAUCUUGGAAAAGGCGACGAACAUUUCCAACUCGGAAUCCCUCCCCCUUGCCGCUACCUCCUUCCCCCGUUUCCCUAUAUCAACCAAAGUCCACUUCGAUUGCUAGAUCCGAAAAAGUUCCUUCUUUUGCUCCUCUUCCUCUCCUCUCCCACCGAUCCUUACCUCUCUUCUCACUCUCUUCCAAUGGCUGCUGCCUCUACUCCUCAAUCUUUCCUCCUCCAACACCCCCUUUAUCCCUCUCUCAAAACCCUCUCUUACAUCCCCUCCAAGCAGCACCUCCGACCAAGACCCCGCCUGUCCACCGUCUCCUGCACCGCCGUCCACCCUGCUCCCGCCUCCGUCUCCGUCACCAAGGAUCAGGGCCGCAUCUUUAACUUCGCCGCGGGACCGGCCACCCUUCCGGAGUCCGUGAUCCUGAAGGCCCAGUCGGAGCUGUACAACUACCAUGGCUCCGGCAUGAGUAUUAUGGAGAUGAGCCACCGCGGCAAGGAGUUCGAUGCCGUCAUCAAGAACGCUGAGUCCGACCUCCGCCGCCUCCUCGCCGUCCCUGACGACUACGCCGUCCUCUUCCUCCAGGGCGGCGCCACCACCCAGUUUGCCGCCGUUCCCCUCAACCUCUGCGCACCCGACGAUGCUGCGGACUACAUCGUCACCGGAUCGUGGGGCGACAAGGCCUUCAAAGAAGCCCAGAAGUUCUGCAAGCCUAAUCUCAUCUGGUCUGGUAAAUCUGACAAAUACACCAAGAUCCCGCCUUUUGAAGGCCUCGAGCAGAACCCCAACGCCAAGUACCUGCACAUUUGCGCCAACGAGACGAUCC
Molecule: long non-coding RNA, 54184 nt
Filed under: Musa acuminata (dwarf banana)
Lineage: Eukaryota; Viridiplantae; Streptophyta; Magnoliopsida; Zingiberales; Musaceae
Description: long non-coding RNA (MACU_LNC001786)
Rfam family: tRNA (bases 23674-23746)
Source: RNAcentral